This 61590-nucleotide long non-coding RNA is filed under the name Gossypium barbadense (sea-island cotton). Its description in RNAcentral is "long non-coding RNA (GBAR_LNC015411)". Lineage: Eukaryota; Viridiplantae; Streptophyta; Magnoliopsida; Malvales; Malvaceae. The record is from RNAcentral.
UAUUAAGGGAAUAAAGUAUUAAAGUUCAAAACAAAACCACAACAGUGCUGGGCUGAUCUAAAAAUAAAACAUGGGAUACUUAAAGGGUUUGAGAAGCCCGCAAAAACAAAAAUAGAAAAUGAAGCCUAAAUGAAUGCAGAAAUAGAAUCGUCAUUUCCCAGUCAAAUCAAACAGUCUGGCCUCCAUUAUUUUCCAACUUUUCAUUUCAUAAACGCUAGGCUUUUCAGAUGAUAGCAAUUUCAAAGAAAUCUUAUGCUUUAGCUAUCUUUUUCCGUUUCAUUUCCUCUUCAUCAACUUCCUUCAAUCAGAAUUUUGUGGCCAUCUCCCUCUUAGAUCCGGUGUUCUUCUCUCGUCUCUCCCACCAGGUAUCUUUCUUCCCCUUUUCUUAAUGCCUCUUUCGUUAGGUAUGUGCUUCAACGUUCUCUGUUCUUUGGAUGAAUCGAAAAACAUUUUUUUUGGAAUCGGGUUUUGUUGCUCUGAAUAUCAUCAAUAAUUGCUCCUAGAAUCGAUUUAUCUCUAGCUUUUGUUUUGCAUUUGUUGAUUAUUGUUUUCGAAUCCCCCAUCAUCGUGACUGAGUUUAAGCCCAUGCUUAUGCCUAAUUUGGUUGCCUCUAAACAUGCUAAUGCUUCUGCUACAAAUGGAGAGGAAACGUUGGAGUGAAGAGUAGACUUUGAGACUGUGAUUUCCCCAUUCUGACCUCGGGCUACCAUUCCUGACGCUGAUCUAGAGUUGUUGAUAUCAAAAGCUGCAUCAAACUGUAUAGACUCCCGUAGCUCCACCUCUCUUUGUUCGGAUCUAACGGCCGUAGAGGUAAGUUUUCUUUCUCGCACUCCUUCAAGCUCUAUUAGAUAACUCUGUAUUUUAAAAGCUAGAUCCCUUCCUGAUGUAUACUUCCUCUUGUGGAUCAUUUGAUUUCUCGAGCUCCAGAUAACCCAUAAGGCACAAAAAAAUACUCAGAUCUACUCCUUUGUACCUCUGCUGAAUACCCAGGUGAGCCAUGCCCAUACACUCUGAUCUGCAUGUUCUGUUACCCAUGACAUAUUGAGACUGAUCUAUGCAUCCGUGCUUAUAGGACAUUGCCUAAACACAUGGAAGCUAUCUUCUUCUGCAGAACAGUAUCGUGGACACCUUACAUUAGUGGUCACUCUCUUAUAUCUGAUAUUAACUAGUGAAGGGAUGUAGUUCCAGGAAAUUCGCCAUAUGAGAAUUAGGAUUUUUGUUAGUAAUUGUAAAUUCCAUAAUUUUCUGUAGAAAUCUUUAGUUUCGACCUGUAUUAAAUAGUUAUAAUGAUCCAAGCUAGCUUCUUAUAAUAGUUUGUAGGCACUUCUAACUGUAAAUUCUCCGGAGAGUUCCCCUUUCCACACUUUCAUGUCUUCACAAUCCGUUUUCGCAAGAGGAAUUUGCAGUAUUUUUUGAGAAAUUUCCUUUUGAAAGGUAGUCGAAAUUAACUUUCUUCCACUUCUUGUUUAUGUUAUCAAUAAGAUCAGAAACCACAGCUAACUAACCAUUGUCUCUUUUAUUUUGCCACAUCUCAAGUUCCAUCCCUAGUAUCCAACGAUCAUCCCAUAUAGAUAUUGCGUCUCCUCUCUCGACUCUCCAGAUGAGACCAUCAAGAAGGAGUCCUUUCACUGCCCAAAUACUUCUCUAGGUAAGAGAUGGUAAGUUUCCCAACUGUGAAUUUAGGAAACUGGAUCUUGGGUAAUAUUUAGCUUUAAGUACUCUGGCUAAAAGUGAAUUUGGGUUAUUAAACAAUCGCCAACCCUGCUUGGCUAACAAUGCGAUAUUAAACUUAUUAAAAUUACGAAAACCCAACCCGUCGUUUUCCUUUAAAUAGCAAAGGUUUUUCCAAGAGCACCAAUAGAUUCCCUUUUUUCCUUGAUUCUUUUGCCACCAAUAUCUCGCAACAAUACUCUCCAUUUCUUCACAUAGUGACUUCGGAAGUAGAAAACAAACCAUUGAGUAUGUCGGUAUGGCUUGUAGCACUGCCUUUAUGAAUAUCUCUUUUCCACCUUGCGAUAAAAAACGAGUACUCCAAUUUUCUAUCUGUUGUUCCAAUCUGUCUUUUAAGGCUUGAAAAGAUUGCUUCUUUUUUCGACCUACCAUGUUUGGCAAGCCCAAGUAUCUUUCUGGCUCAUUUGAACUUCGAACUCCCAAUAAAUUGACGAUUAGAUGUCUUUCCUCUUCAAUUAUAUUUUUGCUAAAGAAGACGGUCGAUUUGGAAAAAUUCACACAUUGACCCGAACAUCUUUUAUACCCGCUAAGAAUUUCCUUGAGUACAAAGGCUCCUUUCCUCGAUGCUUCUCCAAAUAAAAUGCAAUCAUCCGUAAAUAGUAAAUGUGUUACCUGUGGACCACUUCUGGUUGCCUUGACUCCCUUUAGAAGACCUUCUCUAGCGUUUAUUCUCAUUAGACUAGAUAGUCCUUCUCCACAUAUUAAGAAGAGAAACGGGCUCAAAGGAUCGCCUUGUCGAAGCCCUCUUGUUGGACGGAAAGUUCUUCCAACACUUACAUUGAGCACUACUUGAUAAGAAACUGUAGACAUGAAAUUCAUGAUAGAGGUGACCCAUUUUUGAUCAAAUCCCAUCCGCAGCAUUGUUUCCUUAAUAAAUCUCCAUUCAACUCUGUCAUAAGCUUUGCUUAUGUCAAGCUUAACCGCCAUGUAUCCCUUUUUCCCCAUUCUUUUUUGUUUAAGUGUGUGCAAUAACUCAUAAGCGAGCAAAAUAUUAUCUGAGAUUAAUUUACCUGGUACGAAGGCACUUUGCGCACUGUCAAUGCAUUUGUCUAUGACACCUCUAAAUCUGUUUGCUAUUGCUUUAGUCAUGAUUUUAUAAAUAACAUUGCAUAAGCUAAUAGGCCUAAAAUGGGUCAUAUUAGAGGGGUUUUUGAUUUUUGGGAUAAGAACAAUAUAAGUUGAGUUAAUUUGACUGACCUCCAUUUCUCCAUUGAUGAGGUGUAGGCAAAAAGCAGCCACCUCAUCUCCUAUAAAGUGCUAACAUUUCUGGUAAAAAAGAGCAGGGAAUCCAUCUUUGCGAGGUGCCUUCGUGGGAUGCAUUUCAAAUAAGGCCUCUCUCACUUCUUCUUUUGUAUAAUUCGCUAUAAGUUUCCUGUUAUCGUCCUCUGAGAUACACCGAUCAAUUCCCGAGAGUAGACGUUCAUAAUUCAUUUGAUUUUCUAAAGAGAACAGAUUUUGAAAAUAGAAUUGUACAAUACCUUUCAUCUCCUGAAUAUCAUUCGUUUCCUGCCCGCUGCUGUUUUGUAGCUUGCUUAUCAAAUUCUUCUUUCUUCUUUGUGUUACUUGACUGUGAAAAAAGGCUGUAUUCCUGUUUCCAAGUUUUAGCCAAUUUAGUCUAGCUCGGUGUUCCCAAUAAGUUUAAUCUUUUUCAAUUUCGAAGUUAAGCUGGAUCUUUGUGUCAAUCAUCUCAGCUAGAUUAGAAUUAUCCCUUUCAGCUUCAAUCAAUGUUGAUAGUUUGGCUGUGAGAAAUUCUUUUCUCCCCUGUUUAUUUCUUUGCACCUGUUUCGCCCAGUUUACAAACCCUUUCUUAAAAGUUUCCAUUUUCUUCAGAAAUUCUCCAGACACCAUCCCCCAUAAAUGUUUAGCUUCAUCGAAAAAUGAGUCUUCCACGAUCCAUGAGGCUUCAAAUUUGAAUUGAUUUGCUUUUUCCCAUUGGUCUUCCUUAUUUGUGUUGACGAAAAUAGGACAAUAAUCAAAAAAAGAGUGUACAAGUGUUCAACUCAUACCGCAGGAAACAUGGAAAUCCAAUUCUUAUUAGCGACACCCCUAUCCAGACGCUCUUGAAUGUUCGUUUCUGGUAAGUUUCCUCUCUCCUAAGUGAACCAUCUACCAGAGUAUCCCACAUUGGAUAGUUGGCAAAAAUCUAAAGCUUCUCGGAACAACUCCAUUCUUCUUUCAUCUCUUGGCAAGCCUCUCUUUUUUUUUUCGAAUUCAUACAUUAUUUCAUUAAAAUCUCCACAGACAAGCCAAGGGGUGUAUUCCUUUUUAUGGAGAUUUUUCAAAACAGUCCAUAAAGCUUCUCUAUCUUGCGCAUAUGGAGUUCUAUAAAAGCCAGUAAAGCGCCAUUUGACAUCUCUUUCAUCAUCAUCCACCACCAUGUCAAUGUGUCUUUUAGAGAAAUUCUAAAGCGUAACAUUGAUAUUAUUUUGCCAUGCUAGACACAAACCUUCUCUAGAGCCCUUCGAAUCAACAUCAAUUCCAUUCCCAAAUCCACAUCUUCGUCUAAUUCUUUCCAUUCGGUUUCUGCAAAGCUUAGUAUCCAUAAAGAAGACAAUUUGGGGAUUAUAAGUCCUCAGCGUAUGCUGAAGCCUUCGAACUAUCCGUAGACUCCCCAAUCCACGGACAUUCUAACUCAGUAUUUUUAUUGCUUCCGGUCGGCUUGCCAUUUGGUAGCCGCCGAUGAUAAAUGAUUAGGAUCCACCAUUCUCCAAUUUGCCAAUAUGUUUCUCAUUUCUUCUCUCCCUGUUAUAUCUUCAUUUUCCCCUCUAGGCCUUUUCGUCCCCUUUUUCCCUACUAGAGCUACAUCUUCUAGAUCCCUGAUCCAUUACAUUAGGGGUUAAAUUCUCCUUUCCUCGUACCGCGUAUAAUGAACCUCCCUCCAAAUUAAAGCCAAGAACUGGAUCAACAGAUUUCCCAUAUUUUAUUUUUCACCCCGGGUGCUUCUGGCCCAUUUUGAGACCUCCAAAUUCUGCAUCAGUUCCUCUGUUAUCGCCAUCUCCUUCCUCCCUUAGCUAGAUAUUGUUUAUUGAUAAUGACUUCCGUGAUUGUGCUCGGAUAGAUAAGUCCUAGCCCAUUUCUGCAAUUUCCAUUCCAAGGUUCAUUUUUGCCUCGCAAAAAAAGUCAUUAUGCUCCAGUCUUCCACAAUAGAAACAGAACAAAGAUAAACGUUCAUAUUUAAAGGUGACAUAUGAACAUUUUCCACCAAAUGAUAUUUUCUUCCUCCUUUUCAAAGGACGCCUUAUGUCGAUUUGAACUCUAAUUCUCAUAAAGUUCUUGUUUUCUUUUCCCAAAUAUGAUACAUCAUGUUCUAUGAAAUUCCCCAAGAAAUUACCUAACUGGGCAGCCAGGAUUUCAGAAAAAAGGCCAAUAGGGACAUCAUGAACCUAAACCCAAAAAGGUAUCAGAACUAGAGGGAGUUGUAGUGGAUCCUCCCCUAAUUCCAAUUUGUAAAGCACCAGCAGAUGGUUAUUAAUGGUCCAAGGCGAACAUUUCAAAACCCUGUUCAUAUCCAUGACAUGAAAGAACUGAAACAAAUACCUUUUUUCUCCCAGAUCACAGAUUCGUACUCCCUUAACCGGAUGCUACAGAUUCGCCAUUGUACUUUUCAUUGCUGGGAAGUGGAUCGUGCUUGCUGUGAGAAAACAUCCUACUAGUUGAGUGGUCUCACCCCUAUUUUCCGUGCUUGGAUCUGUUGGGAUGUGAAUAAUUUCCUCAUCUUCAUCAUUAAUCGACAAUUGGGCUAACUCAUUCUCCAUACUUUGCAGGUAAAAGUUUUUUCAGCUUUUGUGGUUUCACAAUUCCUGUUGCAAGAGAAGGACUUACACAGGCCACAGAUAACAAAGGGGAAAGUAUUAAGGAAAAAACAAAUAAUGAAAAAACUUAAAAACUCUUGCUAGUGGCAGCAGACAAAGGUGUGCUAGGGUAGCAGACUUUUUUUACUUGUGAAUUUGAUAAUGUUUUAUAUUUCAUAUAAUGUUUUUAUAAUUUUUUUAACUUAUAUAACUAAUAUAUAAUAUGUUUUGAAAAUUUUAAAUUUAAUAAUUUUUAUAAUUUUUUAUUUAUUGAAUUUAUAUUUUUUAAAAUGGAUGCCACAUUAUUAAUCGUCAUGUAUAAAGGAAUACCACAUAAUGCAUUCUCAUUGGUUGGGUGUGUCACCUAUCAUUUUUAACACCAUUAACCUCUUUGAACUAAGAUUGUGUUUAGCAAUGCUUAAAAAAAACACUUUUGGCUUAAAAAGUACUUUUGGAAGAAAAUUUAUGUUAAACAAGUAACUUUUGGCCCAAAGGAGUGGCUUUUCAAAAACAUUUUUACUCAAAAGCUAAAUUUUUUAGCUUUUCUUGAGCCAAAAGCACUUCUUGAAACAUUAUUACUUUUUCAUCUCUCUAUUUUUCUUCCCUUAUUUUUCAUUCACUUUAAAUUACAAAUGCUAAUGUAAAUGUUUUAAUGUUUAUAUUUGGUAUAUAAAUAUUAUCCAUUUUUGAAACUUUAAUCUAAAUAUAUGUAAUAUUUUAAUUUGUUAGGUUUUUGUUUUCUAUGUUAUGUUAAUAUUUAAUAUGGGUUAUAUAUUCAAAUUACAUUUUAAAAUAAAAUCAUUAAUUAAAAAAAGUAUUUCUCGAAAUAAUACAAAUGUGUUAAUAUCUUUUUCUUUUUCUUUUUAUUGAAAGAUUAGGCUUUAUUGAUAAAAGAAAUAAAAAAAACAAUGGAAAAGAACUGGCCCAAUCUCAUCGAGCCCAAAACUAAAGAAGCAACAAAAAUCCAAAAACAAACAAAAAGAAACAAACUAGCCUAGCCAAAUAGGAAAAGACCAUCACAAUCCCCUUAAAUGUCGUUUCAAUAACUGAUGAUUUCCUAACCCCCAUUUUGCAGAUAUUUAGAAGUUACAAAAGAAGUUUUCAUCCUUUCUCCUUUCUCCAAGGUUGGAAAAAUUUGCUUCCGAUCCUCCUCAGUCCGACUCUCGCACCCAUUCAACUUCCAUUGUUCUCUUCGCAUAACUCGGGACAACAUCUUCCAAGUAAAAGCUCUCACCAGAUCUCAAACUCUCAUUUGCUAAAAGAUGGGCUAACUAAUUUUCAAAAUGAUUUGCAUGUUUAAGCCUAAUAAAAGUAAAACUGUUUAGCUUCUGUUUGAUGUUUCGGAUGUAGGUGUUUAUUUCAGAUCUAUCAUGUAUAUCGUUGUUGCAUUUCUUGAUGAUUGUAAAUGAGUCUCCCUUUAUAACUGCUUCUGUUAACCCUAUUUCUAAACUCGUUUGUAUUGCCCAUGAACACGCGAGCGCCUCGGUUGCAAAAAUUGUUCCAACAUCGACAUGUAGGAUCGAUCGAGAUACUAAAACUUUGCCUAGAGCAUUCUUAACUACAAUUCCCGAUCUUGAUCUAGAAUGAACCUAAUCAAAGGCCGUGUCAAAAUUUAUUUUAAUUCUCGCUCUUACAGGCGAUUCCCAUUUUCUUUCCUCACCUUUCCUCAUUGAUCUCCAAUUUUCUUAUGUAGGAAGAAAUAGAAUUGGCAAUCUCCCUACUUGUUUCACUGACUUUUUCGUGCACUUCUUGUUUCUCUCUGUCCACAGGCUUCAUAGUGCAACACAAAAUUCCUAGACAUUUUGGUAACCGAACAUUCUUUAACGACCCAGGUAAGCCAAUCAAAAAAUUCCUAGACAAAAUUUGACACCAUUACAUGAAACCCCAAUAACAUCCAGACUUCAAAUGUAACAGGGCAACCACGAAAGAUGUGGUCUAAAUUUUCAGUAGCAUUAUAACAUCUCGGGCAUAUCAUAUUUGACACGAUUCGUUUAUAGUGCAAAUUUCUAAAAGUAAGAAUAUAAUCUUUCAAGAUUCACCAUAUUGUAAUUUUAAUUUUAGUUGGAAGCUUUAAGCUCUAUAGUUUCCUAUAGAAAUCUCUAGCAUUGGUCUUAUCUCAUUUAAAUUAGGGGUAGAAAUACCAGUUUGUAAUAGUUUAUAGGCUCUUCGCACAGAAAAGUCCCCCGAAGGUUCACCUCUCCACAUCAUCACAUCUGCAUAAGGAGUACAAGCCAAAGGGAUUCUCAGUAUUCUACCUAUGUCAACACUCGAAAAGGUACCCAAAUUACAAUCCCUCAUCCAUUCUCUAAUUUCACUAUCACAUAAAUCAACAAGUAUAUAAUUAUCAUUUCUAACCUCAUUGCUUAAUUUAUAAUUAGCUGAACCGGGGAUCCAUGCAUGAUUAACAAUUGAAAUCCUAUCUCCCGUACCCACUCUCCAUCCAAUCCCAUUGCACAACACCUUCUUUGCUGACCAGAUACUUCUCCAAGUAUACAAUGCCUCAUGUCUUAAACUAGCAUUGUAAAAAUCAGAUUGAGGGUAAUACUUAGCUUUCAAAGCUCGUGGUACUAAAGAAUCGGGAUGAUUAAUAAGUCUCCACCCUUGUAUGGCUAAGAGAGCCACAUUAAAUUUCUCGAAACUUCUAAAUCCUAACCCCCUUCCUCUUUCAAAUUGCACAUUAUUCUCCAUCCGCACCAGUGAAUUCCCUUACGUCCAUGACCCUUCUUCCACGAAAAUCUUGCAACAAUACUUUCCAUUUCCCCACACAGAUUUCGACAAUAAGAAAUAUGCCAUACAGUAUGUCGGUAUGGCUUGUAAUACUGAAUUUAUAAAUACUUCAUUGCCCCAUUAGGAAAGAAAUCUCGUACUCUACCUGUCAAUUUUCCUUUUCAUCUGAUCCUUCAAGAUCUGAAAUGAAACUUUUUUAUUUCUUCCCACCACAUUAGGAAGGUCUAGGUAUCUUUUUGGAUUAUUUGAGUAUCAAACUCCCAAUUCCAUCACUAGUUGCAUCCUAACCAUUUCAGAAGUAUUUGCACUAUAAAAAAUCGUAGAUUUUUCAAAAUUCACACACUAACUUGAACAAACUUCAUACUCUUCCAAAACCUAUUUAAAUGCAUGUACACCCCUCUCUAAAGCCUCCCUAAAAAGAACACAAUCAUCUGUAAAUAGUAUAUGUGAAAUUUUAGGUCUAUUCCUACUCACCUUUGGUCCUUUUGUCAGGCCCUCUCCAACCACAAGUCUCAUGAGAGAAGAUAGUCUCUCACUGCAAAUAAGAAAUAGAAAAUGGACUUAAAGUUUCUCCUUGUCUUAAACCUCUAGAAGGUCGAAAAAACUCUCCCAUGAUCCCAUUAAUACUAAUAGAAUAGGAGAUCGUUGAGACACACUUUAUUACCAUAUCCACUUAGGCUUGUGCAAAACCCAUUUAUUCCAUCAUUGCCAUUAGAAAACCCCACUCAACUCGGUCAUAUACCUUGCUCAUGUUUAAUUUUAAAGCCAUAAAUCCCCUUCGUCUAAUUCGCUAAUUUCUAAAAGUAUGUAGUAUCUCAUAUGCAAGCAAUACAUUAUUUGAAAUCAAACGUCCUGACACAAAUACACUUUGAGCACUAUCAAUGCAAACAUUAAGAGUCUUUUGGAAUUGAUUGGCUACAAUUUUUGCAAUUAUCUUGUAUAAAACAUUACAUAAGCUGAUGAGUCUAAAAUUCGUCAUAUUAGUAGGAUGACGGAUUUUUGGUAUGAGAACAAUGUUUGUAACAUUCACAGGGUCAAGAUCCUUACCAUUAUUUAAAACAUCCAAACAAUAGAGGCUUACAUCUCGUCUCACAAUGUGCCAAUAUCAUUGAUAAAAUAAAGCUAGAAAGCCAUUCAAACUUGGUACCUUAGUUGGACCCAUAUCUUUCAAGGCCACAUAGACUUCUUCCUCCGUGUAUGUCCCUAUUAACAUCAAAUUUAAGUUAUCAGAAAUACACAUCCCCACCUCAGACAGAAUAUGAGUUAAUUCACCCAUUCCCUUUGUCGUAAAUAAAUCCUAAAAAAAACCCUUGCAGUUUUUGCCAUCUCCGCUUCCUCCCUAGUAACCCUUCCAUCUUCAUACUCCAAACGUUUAACCAUAUUCUUUUUCAUGCUAUUUGAGGUAUAAUUGUAGAAAAAAUUUAUGUUUCUAUCCCCUAACUUUAACUAAUUGACUCUCGCUCUUUGUUAUUAGAAAGCUUCAUCCUUAUCAAUCUCUCAGUUUAAAUGAACUAGUGUCAAUAAGGUCUACCAAAUUCUCAUCAUCCUGAUCUGAGGCUAACAGUUGCUUCAAUUUCCUAGUCAAAGAUUUUUUCAAACAAUGUUUUUUUUCCUUUAUCUCUCUUUCCCAACUUCCCAGUUCUACUUGAAUACUUUCAAUUUUAGUAAAUAUAUCUCAUUUGAUCGAUUCCUAAACUCAUUUUAUUUCUAUUUCGAAAGACUCUUUCAUUGUCCACCAUGCUUCAAAACGGAAUUUUUUAUUACCCUUAACAUUUCCACCUAUAUUAGUAUGAACUAAAAAUGGGCAAUGAUCAGAAAAAGAAUGGGGUAAGUGUUGAAUACUGGAAUUUGGAAAUCUAUCCAACCACCUAACAUUUGCCACACCUCUAUCCAAUCAUUCCUGAAUAUUUGUUUAUGGUAGAUUUCCUCUCUCCCAUGUAAACCAUAUCCCAGAAUAUCCUAUAUCCAGAAAGCGACAGUCCUCCAAAACUUCCCAAAAUGUCUCAAUUCUCUAUUCAUCCCUUAGAAUACCUCUCACUUUCUUAAAAGAAUACAUAAUUUCAUUAAAGUCCCCGCACACUAACCAUGGAAGAUUUUGGAAAUUCCCCAAAUUCUUAAAGACAUUCAACGGCUCGCUCAUAUUUCGAGCAAACAAAGAUCUAUAAAAACCUGUAAAUCUCCAAUCCCCUUUUUCCACAUCCCCUUUUAUCUCUACAUCUACAUGGUUCAUAGAGAAACUGCGUAAAGUGACAAUUAAAUCCUCUUUCCAUGCCAAACAUAGGCCUCCAUGAGAACCAUCAGCCCCCACCUCAAUCGCAUUAACAAAACCACAUCACGUCCUUACUGCUUCCAUUCUUCUACCAUCUAGUUUAGUCUCCAUAAAAAAGAUCAGUUGGGGAUUAGACAUAUUCAGUGCAUGUCGAAGUCUUUUGACAGCCCGUAUCUCCUCAACCCACGGACGUUCUGUAAUGACCCAAAAUUCACGGGCAUCAGAAAAGUGCAAUAUUGGGCCUCCAUCUUAGUGAAAUGGGUUCGUAAAUAAUUAUUAGAAAUAUUUAUGAGACUAGUGGUGUGCCUAAUUAGGUUCUAAUUAGGUGAAUUUAUCUUAAUUAAGAGUAAUUAGGAAAAAAUGACUAAAGUGAAUAAAAGGUAAAAGUUGAAUUGUAGAUUAAAAGAAAAUAAAAAGGACCAAAAUGGUAAAUAAGCUAUUUAGCAUAAGUUGAGGCGGCAAACAAAGAUUUUUGUUUUGUUUAAUUAAUCUAAAAAAAUAAAUUAGUUAUAAAUUUAAUUAUGUUAAAUUAUAAUAAUUAUAUUAUAAUUAAUAAAAUAAGGACAAGUGUAUGGCGAUGAUAAAACACAUGUGUAAUAAAUAUAUGUAAACAUUUGUAGUAUAAUUAUUUAUUUACUUAUAUUUUAAACUAAAGAUAUUUAUUAUUAAAUUAAUCUAUUAUAAAUAUCAUAUUAUGAAUUGAAUUAAAUUAAAGCCAAGUGUACAGUGAUAAAAAUAUACAAAUGUAAUAAUAGUAUUCAUACAUUUGUAAUAUAUUUAUUUAAUUACUUUAUAAGUAAAUAGAUAUUUAUUAUAUUAUAUUAUUAUCAUUAUUAUUUUUAAAUAAUAUAUAUAAUGAAGUAAAAAAAGAAAAGAAAAGAAAAGAAAGAAAUAAAACAAAGAAGAAAAGAAACAGAGAGCAAUUCGAAAUAGGGGAAAAGAAAGAAGAAAAGAAAAAGAAAAGGAAAAACUAGGGUUUUGAAGCUUAAAGCUUUAAUUGGUAAGUCAAUUAAGUCAUUUUUACUUAAUUUUGAUGUUUCAGAAGCUUUGGAACAAAGUUUUGUUGAAAUCAAGUUGAAAUUUUGGAAAUUCUUAGGUUUUUGAAUAUAGUUCAUGUUGAACAAAUUGAUGAAUUAGGGGUUUAAUUGAUAGAAAUUUUAGUUAGAAUUGAUUAAAGGAUUAAAUUGUAAAGCUAUAAGUUUUGCAUAGUAGGGACUAAAUUGCAAGAAUUUCGAAAUUAGGUAUUUAUGAUGAAAUUUAGAUAGUUAUGUCUAAGUUUGGUUGAAAACUGAGUAGAAAUAAAGUAUGAAUUAAGAUAGGAAAGUAAGUGAAUUUACUUAGGACCAAAUUGAAUUUACGGUAGAAAUUGAAUAGAAAUGGAAUAGGAAAAUUUAAAUAUUAGACAUAAAUUAAUAUUGUAUUAAUGAUUAUGAAAAUUAUCCUAAUUUUUCGUAGCUAAUAUCGCACCCGAGGUAUCCACGAAGAAAGGAAAAAAAAAGUGGACGAGGAGUAGACACGAGAAUCACGGUUUGUAUUAUUAUAAUUCAAAUUUAAUUAUUAUUAAUUAUUGUGUUUUAAUUGAAAUGCAUGGUAAAUAAAUAAGGUAAGAAAUUUGGUAUGAUAAUAUUAUUUUAAAUGGAGUUGAUUUCAAGUGAAUAUGAUUAUUGAAAUUAAGUAUUGAUAUUGAAUUGAAUGAAAUUAGAUUGAAUUGUGAUUAUAUGUGAGUAAUUGAGAUGAAUAUUGAAUUAAGAAAGUGAAAUUGAAAUGUGAUUAUUGAAUAGAAAUUGAAAUGGUUUGAAUUGAAUUAUUGAACUAUUGUGGUAUUGAACUGGAAUAUUGAAAUUGGUGACUGAUAUGGAUUUUAUUGGAAUUGAAUUGAGAAAGUGGAAAUUGAUAUGUGAUGUUGAUGUUGGAAGUGAAUUUGCUUAUCGAAAUUGAAUGAAAUAUCGAUUGAAAUGUGAAUUUGAAGCAAAUGGAAAAUAUGAGAUAUUGUGGUUGAAAUGGCAUUAAUUGAAAUUGAAUUGAGAAAUAUAUAUAUUGAAUACCCUAUUAACUAGUCGGGCUGAGUCGGAUAUAGUUGGCAUGCCAUAGGAUUUGGAAGAGUACGGGAUUUAUCAACUUUGCCGAUCAGGCAUUUUAUGUGUCGUAUAUCAGGAACUUUAUGUGUCGUAUUUUAGGCACCUCAUGUGUCGUUUCAGACACUUAUGUGUCGUAUAUUGAUCAGGUACUAUGUACCGUUUUAGGCAUAAUGUGCCGUAAUGGUGUGUUUGGUUGGAUCCAUGUAUCCGCCAAAGUUCGAGUCAUGUUAAUAGGGGAAAAAUAAAAGAAUUGAAGUAAGAAAUGAUAUUGAAUUAUGAAUUAUGUGAAUAUUUGAAGGUAUAUUGAUUGGAAAUUAAAAGCGAUUUGAAUUGAACUAAAUUGAUUUGAAAUGAGACAUUGAAUUGAGAUGUGAAAAUGAAAUAUAUGAAAUAAUGAUUUUAUGAAAUGGUUAUUGAUGAAAUGCAUGAAAUGGAUAUUGAUAUAGUAAGAAGAUAUAUAAUUUAAAAUGAAGAGAAGCUAUUUAAAAUACAUAUUAUUAAAAUAAAAUUAAAGUUUAAAUGCAUAAUGAUUUAUUAAAGCUAAAAUAGUGGUAAUAUUUAAUGUGUAUAUAUAUUGUUUUUACCUUAAGUAUUUGAAUUAUAGUAAUACCACUGGGUGAAUACUCAACGUACAGUUUGUUUUCGUGCGUAGACUAGAUACAUAAUUUUUUUUUGAAGAGUUGAAUUUGAGAUUGCAAGCUUUCAUCUCAUCACAUCUUCAAGCAACAACAGGGUAUGUUUUCAAAUUUUGAAUAGAAUGACAUGUACUUAGGAAAAAUAUUAAGUAUGUUCCAAGUGUCCAUUUUUAUGUUCAAAUAUAUUAGUAAUUAGCCAAGAAUUAAUUUGGCACCAAAUGUAAUAUUCCUAUAUCAAGUUCCUUGAGUCGAACAUGGUAUAUGGGUGUUACACGUUCCAACUUAGGAGUUUCACUGUGACUGGUUGGCUUGCCCGUCGAUAAAUAAUGAGGUUUAAUUACCAUCCUUCCUUCCCUUCCUUUCCCAGAGUCAACUAUUCCCGACCCUUGUCGGAAAACUCCUUCCCAUCGUGGUCGUUUUUUCCCUUCACCCCCUCCAAAGGACAUUCCUCAGAAUCAUGUUCCAUUUCUAUUUGACCUAACCCACCAUUUGAUUCUCCUUCCAAAUUAACCCCUAACACAAGAUUAACCUUUUUUGACAUUGCUCCUCCACAUCCUUUUCCCCUUCUCCUUUUAGCCAAAUAAUGUUCACUACUAGAGCCCUCCUUGAUUGAGUACGUAUAAACAAAUCCCAUCUCGUUCCCACUAUAUCCGUUUCGGACUCCAUCCUAAUUUGGUAGCAAGAAUCACCGUGACCUAGACAAUCACAAUAAAAGCAAAACAAUGUUAGUCGUUCAUACUUGAAAUUGACAUAUGAACAGAUACAUGAGGAGAACAUCAACCUCUUCUUUCUUUUCAGUAGUCAUCGUACAUCAACUAAUACCCGAAUUUGCAUAUAGUUGAUAAAACCCUGCUCUAAACUUUUUGUAUCAUACUCCAUAAAAACGCCCACAAAAUCUUCCAAUUGUCUUGCUAUUCAUUCAGAGAAAAAACUCGGGGGCAACUCAUGGACUUGGACCCAAAAAAAACUGAUAAUAAUGGAACUUUUAGUGGGUCCUCCCCCUCUACCAUACAAUGCAACACCAAAAGCUGGCUAUUAAAAGUCCAUGCGAUCCACUCUGCACUCUUUCCAAAUCCAUUUUAUGACAAAUAUGAACAAGAAUCGUUUUUCUCCCUGAUCUGAGAUUUGUACUCCCUUCAUGGGAUGCCACAAAUUUGUCAUUGUACUCCUUAUUGUGAGGAAGUGAAUUACUCUUGCAGUGAGAAAACACCCAACCAAACACAAAUCAUAAACCUCAUUCGUCGCUUCUGUGUCACUACUAAUUGCUAAGAUCUCAUCCACAUCGUUUUCUAACGUAAUAUUUGCCAGGUCAUUCUCCAUGUUUCCACCGUCGCUCUCCAUACUAACGUUCAAAAAUAAAAUGCACUUAAAAAACCCUAAAAAAUCAAAACUUGCUGGAAUAGCAGACAAAUACGUGCUAGCACAACAAACUAACCCAAAAAAUCAUUAUUGUAUUAAAUUAACCCACAAAUGUGUUAAUAUCUAAUUACAAAUAUUUAAUGGUUAUAUAUAAAUAUUUAAAAUAUAGUUUAUAUAUUCUAAUUAAAUUUUAUAAAUAAUUAAUAUUAAUUGCUUAAAAAUAUUUAAAAUUUAUGUUUCAUAUAUUAAAACAUUAACAACAAGUUAUAAUAAAUUUUUUAUUUUUGUUAAAAUAUCAUAAUAUUAGCUAAUUUGAACAUUAUUUAAAUGUAUAUUUGUUACUUCAUAAUACUAUGUCUAAAAUGAACAUUUUAUUUCUCAGAAGUACUUUUUGACAACAAUACUAGACACUUAAAUCUUAAACAAAACUUUUUAAAAGUAUUUCUUAAAAACACUUUUCCACGGUACUUUUGAAAAACACUUUUUAAAAGUACUUCUAAACUAGCCCUAAAAAUUAUUACAAAGUGAUAGUUUAAGAUACCAAAAUGUGACAAAAAAAAUGUAGAUGACAAAAUGAGAACACUUAUAAUUUUAGGGCGAAAAUAUGACAUAAACCACAUCAGAUAUAGGGUGAGAGUACAUGACAGGUCCCUCUAUUAUAAGAACCAAUAGGAAUUAAUUAUUCCAUUAUUAAAUUGGUUACUUUAAUUCAUGUACUAUUAAAAAGAAGGCUUAAAACAACAAAAUGUAACUUAAACUAUACCCAUUUUCUCAAGUCCGUACCUUAACUUUUUUUGUUACAAGCGAUACCUACAGUAUAUUCUAUUACCCAAAAUGGUACCUAAUUAUACACCGUUACCCAAAUUACCUCAACUAUUAAAAAAAUUCUCUUAGCCAAUCAUUUUCUGACAUGUGGUAAUUUUUAAUUAAAAAAUCCAAAAAAGUUAAAUAUUAUUUCCUUAAGUUUUUUUUUUGAAAAAAAAAUUUAUAAACAUAUUAAUCUCUUUUGUUCUUCACUCAAUAAUUCUAGUGACGAAAAAUUCAAGAACUCGCCGAAAAACUCAUCCAAACCCAUUUUUAGCAACAAAACUUGAUUUCUAUGAGCUUUUUUUUCCUUUUCAAACCCUGAUUUUGGUUCCAUUCUCAUCCCAAUUCAAAAUCUAUGUAUUAUUUUUCUUAAAAUUAACUUUUUUUUUCAUUUUUUAUUUAUACUUUGCAUAAAAUCAUUAAUGUUUGGUGAAUUUCUAUAAUGAAAAAAGACACCAGAUAAAGCAUGAAAUCCAAAUACAAAGAAGAAGCUAUUAGAAAAAAGGUAAGAUGAUUGGGGAAAAAAAUCAUUUGCUAAUUAAAAAAGGUUCAUUAAAAGACAAUAAAGAAGUGUAGGGAGGUAGAGAGUUAAAAAAAAGUUAAAAGUUUUAAUUCAAUUAAAGAAAAAUUAUCUCAUACAUCACUGUGGAGUUAUUUCAUAAGCGAGUUGAAAGUGUUACAUAUGUCUUGCAAGGUACAUUAAAAAAAUAUAAAGGAAAAAAAAAACAAGUUGGAACUAGAUUUUGUCGCUGAAAAUUGAGUUCAGAUGAGUUUUUCAACAAGUUCUUGAAUUUUCUAUGAUCAAAUUUCUUUCACAGAUAUGCUUAUAAGUUUUUUUUAAAAAAAAAAGUUGAAGGAAAUAAUAUUUUAAUUUUGAGGAAAUAUUUAGUACAUUUUCAAUGAAAUUUAAAAGUUCCACAAGUAGGGUUGAGUUGAUAAGUUUAUAUAGGAAAUAGUAAAAAAAUUAAAUAUAUAGAAAAGGAAUGAGACACGUGGCAAUUUUAUAACUCUACUUGUGGAGUUUUUUUAGUUAAAAAUUGCCAAAUACUCACCCUUUAACUUUUUGAGGAUUUUUUUAGUUAAAAAUUGCCAAGUGUCACAAAAUGAUUAGCUAAAAGAUUCUUUUUAACGAUUAAGGUAAUUUGGGUAACAGAGUAUAGUUUAGGUACACUUGUGACAAAGAAAAAUUUUAGGUACCAACUUGAGAAAAUGAGUAUAGUUUAGGUAUUAUUUUACAAUUUAAGCUUAAAAAAGAAUAAAAUAAGGCUAAAUUUUUACAUAGUCAAUGUUGAGGAAGUUUUGAGAUCAAUUACAACAUUAUCUUAGUUAUUUUCUUGUAUCUUUUGAGGACAUUGUACAACUAAUCUCGUGACUAUAAUUGGAGAAGAAAUUGGAUAAAGUAAAAUUGCUUUUGAAGGAUCCUAAUUUAAUCUACUUAUCUUAUAUAUUGAGACAUGCAAUUUAAGAAGACAUGGGCUGAAUUUAUGAAGAUUUGUCUCAAUUCUUUGUAUCCUUUUAUUAAAGGUCAUUAAUUGGAGGAGAUUUGGGUAAAUCAUAAUGGAUUAAAGUUUUCUUUGUGAAGUUGAAUUCGUGCUCUAUAUAUGAAAGCCUUGUUUAACAUUGAAAGAGGUAGUUGUAUUGAAACUAUUAUGAGAGCAGUGACACGAGUAGUUACAAUUGCACUUGGCACUAUUCAUAAAUUAUAACUUGCCUUAUUCGGAGUUGGCAAUAUUUUGAAUUGAAAUAGUUAGAUAAUGACUUAGAUGAUAUUAGAGGCAUGUGUUGACCCGUAUUUGAAUAUUGAUCUUGUGAAGCAUCAAAUCUUUGAAGUUUGGGUCGACCUGGAUCAAGCAAAUUAGAUCCUCUAAUUUGUGAGAUUGACUUGACUAACUUGAAGACAUAUUUUGGAUAUAUUUAAUUUAUUCUAAAUUUUAUGAGGAUAUUUGCAAAACCCUUUUAUGAGGCUAUUUUUGUGGGAUCUUAAUUGUAAUUUACAGGUACCUUAGCAAGCCUUAAAACUCUUAUAUAUUAUAAGCUUGCUUAGUUUGAAUAUUAGGAGAGUUGACACAUAUUUUGUUUAGUAAGAAAUUUUUUAGAAUGUGCACUUUUGUAAGUAAACAAGUGAGUCAUUUGGUUUUACAAACUAAGUUUUCAAGGAGGAAAUCUAGUGGAGAGAGAUCUAGAUCUUAGGUGCAAAAGUGAGGUUUCUAUAUCGAUGUGUAAGAGAACUUAAAUAACUAUUUGUAUGAGGUUGAAGGUAGCGGAUCAUCUUUCCAGGCAAGACCUCACAGACAUAUGAAAAUUGAAUUGCGUAAACAAUUGCAUCAUGUCCAUAUUUGUUCCUUUGUAGUUCCACUUGUAGUUGGCACUAUUCAUGGCAUUGCUCUUAUAAUUGUUUGUAAAAUUUCAAUUAAUAUUUAUUAUUUAAAAAAUGUCAUUAUUGUUUAAUAGAGUUAAUAUUUUUAAGGCCUUUAUGAUUUUGCAAAUAAAAUCUUUUGUUUGGUGUUGAAUUACAAAUGAAAAUAAUAAUUUUUGUUAUAUCAAUAAAGUUAUACAAAUUGUUUGAACAAUACUUACAUUGUAGGGAGUGAAGAAAGCAACUAAGAUGAAGGUGGUUUACAUUGUAGAAGGUGUAAUGAGCCACUGUAAAAGGUGGUUCACACUUUUAGAGAUGUUGAGGAUGUGUUUGUGCAAAGUGGUGAAACUAUAGACGAUAUUGGGUCUCUUAUUCGUUCUCUCUCCUUGCCUUAUUUUGAAAAGGGGUAUUUAUAGAGUACGGUUGGCUUGGUGUGGGUCUCAACCAUGAAACACUCUCUUACAAUUAAUGUGAGUAGAGUAGCAGAUGUUAGCCUAGAGGUACUGUUUGAGUCGACUUGAGAGGAUUAGACGAUGCAUUCACUAGGUCAGGGAGGUGACGAAUUAACGAGUGUUGAUAGAAACUAUUCCCUAAAUACCUUUUGGUGAUAGUGUAAGCCUACCUCAUUUGAUGUGGUGUUUUGGUAAGUCUAUUCUCCUGGCAAGGUCACAAGGUCGAGCUUCGUCUUAAUUGUUGAGUGGUUUGAUGAAGGUUUUAUGGCAAUGGUAUAACAAUUUCCAUCUUUUUUGUUUUCAAAAUUUAAUUUUAUAUCUUCUUUUGAUAAAUCAUGAAUUAGAGAGUGAAAUUCCACACAAAAAAAAAUUAAUUUGUUAUAGCAACUUGGAAAGUCAUGUAUUUUAAUAUGGAAAAAGCAUGUUUAGAUAUAGAAUCUAUUCACCCGAAUAUACAAAUUGAAGAAUAAAAAAGGGAAAUGGUGGUUCUUUCACGAAGAUCUUGUUAGCUGUUUGACUUUAUUAUUUAAUUAUUUAAGGAAUAUUAAGUUUUUUAACUUUACAAUUUUUUUAUAUUCUUAAAUAUUAAAGAAAAACAAAUGACGAGUUUUUUAACUUAAAAAAUGGAAACUUUGCUGCACUAAAUAAUUAUUUAUGAUUUAACAUUGUUGUUUGAUGAAUUAAUAGGAGAGUGUCGAUAAUUUCAAGUCCCACAGGUUAAAAUUGCUGAUCAGAUUUGUUUAUCUUCAACUUCAAAUCUUAUUUCUAUUAAUUUAUAAUUGAUUCCGCUAAAAGAAAAAGAGAGUAAAUGAAACUAAAAAAAUAUUACUCAUUUUUAUUUUAAAAUAUAUCUGAAAUCCAAAGUUUUCAUUUCCAAUGAAUGGAUAAAAAAGAGUAUUAUUUCAUAUAAAAAGUUUGGGUUAAGAUAUAUAAAUCAGUAAAACAUUAUCACAUUUAUUUGUAUAUCUAAUAAUUACAGGCUUAGGACCAUAUGCCAAUCAGGCGGAUACGGUGGAACCGACCGUUUACGAUCAUGUGAUCACAUGCAAAAUAUCGUCUUUUUAUUUUAGUCUUUCUUUUUUAAGGAAAAAAAAAAACAAUAAUUCAAAGAAUUUGGUUAUGAAUUAUAAUAAUUGUUAAAUAAAGGGUAAACGAUUAAAAUAGUCACCAUUGUUUGUCUCAGGUUAUGCUUUUGUUAUUUAUGUUUGAAAUAUUGUAAUAUUUUAAUCACCAAGUGUUAAUUGCCGUUAACAAUGUAGCGAUAAGCUGACGUGACAUGUUAAUGCGUUAGUUCAAAUGAAAUUUUUAGGUUAAAUUAUACAAUUAAUCCUUAUAAUUUUUUCAUUUUGAGCAAUUUAAUUUUUUCUUUUAUGUCCUUUGAAUUUUCCUCUUUUUUUUUUCUUCUUUUUUCCCAUUCUCUUCUUUUUCUCCCUUUGUUUUCCUCCAUUCUCCAUUUCUUUUAAGGUAGUUUUUCUAUGUUUUUCAUUUGUUAAAAUUAGUCCAUAUACUUUUAUUUUUUUGAAUAAUUUAAUUUUUUUCUAUUUCUUUAUUUUUCCUUUUCUUCUCCCCCUUUAUUUUUCUCUCUUCUCAUAUUUUUCACUGCAAAAACAUAAUCUUUGCCCACCAAAUAAACCAAGUCUUAUUUCUUUCACAUGAUUCCUAAAUUGAAUUUCACUCAAAACCGAAUAUCAAUCCUUCUUAAUCAAAUCUCGAUUUGAAUAUAACCUAAUUUUGAAACUAAAAUUGAAUCUAACUAAUCAAUAUAAAAAACCAUAUCCUUAAUCAAAUCUAAACAUAAAUUGAACUCUUUAUAUUCAAAACAAUUUUUUUUCGUUUCCAAACUUUUACAAAAUCAUGUACGUUAUUCAUUUUCUUUUCCUUCAUUUUCUGAUGAAUAAAAUUAAGCAAACGAUGAAAUUGAUCUAAACCUUCUUGGAUAUUCCCAAGCAAGCUUGAUUGGAAGUUGAGCAUGGACGAACCAAAGAGAGAAAUGGAGCAUGGAACCAAAUUGGUUUGGGUAAAGUGGAGGGUAAGUUUCGCAUGGUAGUCGUUUGUCAUUGAGAGUGUAGAGCUCGUUUGAAGAAUUUGUGAAACAACGUAGUUUCAAGAGGACAAGAAUGUCGUAUGUAAGAUAGAUAAGGUGGUUGUGGGGGUUGGUUAGGAGGUUAAGGUAAUGGGCACGGGAAACUUUGUUGAGGGUGGACUGCCAUAAGUCACGACUGGUGAGGUCUUUGAGUGAGGCGAGCUUGUGGACUAGGUCAUUAGGAGAUCCAAAUUGGUUCGUUAAAACGAUGAUGAACGAUGAGGGUUUGUAAUUGUAGGGUGAGAAUAUGCGAAGCAAGUUUUAUUUUGCUUUUAGCUUUUGUCUUUUCUUUUUUCAUAAACAUAAAAAAAUUAACAAAUGAAAAAUAUAGAAAAACUACGUUAAAAGAGAUGGAGAAGGGAUGAAAACAGAGGGAGAAGCAAAAGAGAAUGGAAAAUAAAGAAAAAAAAGUUAAAAGAACAUAAAAGAAAAAAAAAUUAAAUUGCUCAAAACGAAAAAAAUAUGGAGACCAAUUGUAUAAUUUAACCUAAAAUUUUUGUCUGAAAUGAUGAUUUAACAUGCCACGUCAGCUUAUCGUUACACUGUUAAAGACAAUUAAUGGCUCAAUAACUAAAAUGUUACAACACGUUAACGUAAGUGACUAAAACGUAACAUUCCAAACAUAAGUGACUAAAAUAUUACCUAAGAUAAACAAAAAUAACUAUUUUAAUAGUUUACCCUUAAAUAAAGGUAUGUGGCAGUCAUAGAUCAUUCCGUGCAUGAAAUAAUUUUUAUUUUAUUGCACAAAGUUAUUUAUUUUUACAAAAGAGAUUUAAUAUCGAUAUUAUGAUUUGAAUUCAAUUCACAAAGAUUUAUGAAUUUUUCAUAGAUUUAUUUAUACAUUGAAUAAUGAUAAAUUUUAUAUUUAGAGUUACUUUAAUAUAGUUUUCGUAGUAUUUUAUAAAGUAAUUUUAGCUUUUAAAUUAGGUUUGUUACAUUUUAUAGUUUUUUUGGAUUAAUUAUAUUUUAUUUGAAUUUUACUUUUAUUUUAUCAUUUUUAGAGUUAAUUCAGAUUCACUUGUAUGCCAUGUUAUGUACCCAUCCAGAUGUCUCAUAUGCCUUAAGUAUGACGAGCAGAUACCAAAUAGAUCCCGGUGAAGGUCACUGGACCACAGUUAAGAAUAUCCUUAAGUACUUGAGAAGAACUAAGGAUACUUUCCUAAUAUAUGGAGGUGAGGAAGAGUUAAGUGUAAAAGGUUACACUGAUGCCAGCUCCCAAACCGAUAAGGACGAUUCUCGAUCACAAUCAGGUUUUGUGUUUUGCCUUAAUGGUGGUACUGUGAGCUGGAAGAGUUCAAAGCAAAGUACAGUAGCCAAUUCUACAAUAGAGGCCGAGUAUAUUGCAGCUAGUGAGGCAGCAAAAGAAGCGGUUUGGAUCAAAAAGUUCAUUACUGAACUAGGGGUUGCGCCUAGCAUAUCAGAUGCUAUAAAACUCUGAUGUGAUAACAAUGGAGCCAUUGCACAAGCUAAAGAACCUAGAUCUCACCAGCGAUACAAACAUAUACUUAGGCACUACCAUCUUAUUCGAGAGAUUAUCGAUCGAGGGGAUGUAGAGAUAUGCAGAGUACCUAUAGAUGAUAACAUUGCUGAUCCCCUAACCAAGCCUCUGACACAGCAGAAGCAUGAUCGUCACUCUAAGUCGCUUGGUAUUAGAUAUAUAAGUGAUUGGUCUUAGUGCUAGUGGGAGAUUGUUAGAGUAUGCCCAAAGAUCAAUCAUGAGAUGGUUGUAAUAACAUACUUGAUUUAUCAUGUUUAUUAAUAUAAGGCGUUACCAUUAUUAUUUCAGUUUCUUUUCUGUGUGUAUAAAUAAACUGUUUUAUAAUAAUGUCCUAAGAAUAAUAUGAUUAUUCUUAAAAGUUCCUUAGUCAAGUAUUAUUCUUGGAUAGGACAACGAUAAUGCAUUAAGACUAACAUGUAGUUGGUUGAUGAUAAAGAGUUGUCAUUGAUAUGGAAUGUCAGAAUCGAUGCAUGAAUAUGUGUGUUAGAGAACAACAUAUUGGACUGACCCGUGAUGAGUAUGUUUCUUGGAUUAUUAUGUAAUUAUCACAACAUUACUCAUAGUGAUUAAUAUGUAUAUGAUCCUCAGACUUGAGAUCAUCAUAAUCCCAACAUCGUGAGUUGUAUAUUUUGAUACAGUCAAACGUACACCGUAACUGGUUGUUCUAUAAAGGCUGAUGUUGGAUAUACCACGAUUUAUGUAGAGGGAUAUGGUUGAUCGAGAUAGGAUAAGCCCCUCCUACAUAAUGGGAGUAAUAUCUUAGGCCACUUGAUUGAGUGGGAAUAGAAAUGCAUGGCCAUGGUCAAAUAAGUUGAUAUGAGAUGUCAUACUUAUUUGUAUAUCGUAGUCUGCUUAAGAUAUCAAGGAACAUGGAAUGGACUAUGCAAGUGUGACUAUUCUAUGACUUGUGUCCAAUCCAGAGAUAAAGGACUUAAGGAUUAUUGCAUAAAAGGUUAAUCAUAAAAGGUUAUAUCGAAUCAUGAUUUCUUGUGACUUAGGUAGCAAUGAUGCAUUGCUAGAUGCCACUCAUCGUUUGUAACAUUAGAAUCGUUCUAGUAUUACUACUAACGUUACAGGAACCUACAGGGUCACACCUUAUAGAUGAAAUGAACGAAAUAAAACAUAGUUGGUAUUGUGUUUGGUUGUCGCUUGAAUUAAGAAUUAAUUUAAUUGGGUAAUCAAAUAUCGAGCACAUUAUGUACAAGGUUGUUGUACGCAUUAUGAGAACAUGAAUUUGGUUAGUACAUAAAUUCAAAUAAAUAUAUGGUUUACCGAAAUUAUAUUAUAAUUAAUGUAAUUAUAAUUUUCGGUUUAAAAUAUUAUUAUAUUUAUUUUAAUUUCUAGAAACCCUAAAAAAAGAUAUAUAAGAAUCCCAUUUUUUUCUUUGCUUGGGUCUAGCAGCCGUCAAAGAAAAUUCUUUUCAAAACUGUUUUGGGGAUUCAUUCCGUUCAUAAUCAACUGGGUGGAUUACGUAGAGGCUGGGGUCACGAUAGAUUGCGGUUUGGUUCGAUAGCAGAUCAGACUACUCGUUGUUGAGGCGUUGCUGUCUACUCAGAAUAAACAUUUAGUAAUUUCGUAACCAUUAUCACCCCGAUUCGUUCCUCACAUAUGGAUCCGUGGUUAGGGUCGCCGAAUUUUUAUUCUGAGUAGACAGCAACGCCUCAACAACGAGUAGUCUGAUAUGCUAUCGAAUCAAACCGCAAUCUAUCGUGACCCUGGCCUCUACGUAAUCCACGCAGUUGAUUAUGAACGGAAGGAAUUGCCAAAACAGUUUUGAAAAGAAUUUUCUUUGAUGGCUGCUAGACCUAAGCAAAGAAAAAACGGGAUUCUUAUAUAUAUAUUUUUAGGUUUUCUAGAAAUUAAAAUAAACAUAAUAAUAUUUUAAACCGAAAAUUAUAAUUACAUUAAUUAUAAUAUAAUUUCGGUAAGCCAUAUAUUUAUUUGAAUUUAUAUACUAACCAAAUUCAUGUUCUCAUAAUGCGUACAACAACCUUGUACAUAAUGUGUUCGAUAUUUGAUUACCCAAUUAAAUUAAUUCUAUAAUUAAUUUAAUUCAAGCGACAACCAAACACAAUACCAACUAUGUUUUAUUCUGUUCAUUUCAUCUAUAUGAUGUGACCCUGUAGGUUCCUGUAACGUUAGCAGUAAUGCUAGAACGAUUCCAAUGUUACAAACAAUGAGUGGCAUCUAGCAAUGCAUCAUUGCUACCUAAGUCACAAGAAAUCAUGAUUCGAUAUAACCUUUUAUGCAAUAAUCCUUAAGUCCUUUAUCUCUGGAUUGGACACAAGUCAUGGAAUAGUCACACUUGCAUAGUCCAUUCCAUGUUCCUUGAUAUCUUAAGCAGACUACGAUAUACAAAUAAGUAUGACAUCUCAUAUCAACUUAUUUGAGCAUGACCAUGCAUUUCUAGUCCCACUCAAUCAAGUGACCUAAGAUAUUACUCCCAUUAUGUAGGAGGGGCUUAUCCUAUCUCGAUCAACCAUAUCCCUCUACAUAGAUCGUGGUAUAUCCAACAUCAGCCUUUAUAGAACAAUCAGUUACGGUGUACGUUUGACUGUAUCAAAAUAUACAACUCACGAUGUUGAGAUUAUGAUGAUCUCAAGUCUGAGGAUCAUAUACAUAUUAAUCACUAUGAGUAAUGUUGUAACAAUUACAUAAUAAUCCAAGAACAUACUCAUAACGGGUCAGUCCAAUAUGUUGUUCUCUAACACACAUAUUCAUGCAUCGAUUCUGACAUUCCAUAUCAAUGACAACUCUUUAUCAUCAACCAACUACAUGUUAGUCUUAAUGCAUUAUCGUUGUCCUAUCCAAGAAUAAUACUUGACUAAGGAACUUUUAAGGAUAAUCAUAUUAUUCUUAGGACAUUAUUAUAAAACAGUUUAUUUAUACACACAGAAAAGAAACUGAAAUAAUAAUGGUAACGCCUUAUAUUAAUAAACAUGAUAAAUCAAAUAUGUUAUUACAACCAUCUCAUGAUUGAUCUUUAGGCAUACUCUAACAGGACACUGGAUGGUGUAAUGCUAUGAAAAAGGAGAUUCGUGCCCUGGAGGAUAAUGACACCUGGUCUAUGGAGACACUUCCUCUUAGAAAGAAAGUUUUGGGUAGUAAGUGUGAUAACUUGUUCAUUUUUGCAUAUUUUUCGUUUUUAACUUAACUUGUUCUUGAAUUAGUUCCUGUUAAUUGGUGAAUUUUGUGUUUAAAUAUUGCCAGGGAUGAAAUUCGGGUGCUUUAAAUCAAAGACAAGCAAAUAAUGGAUUAACUUGAAGCAUGAGAUAUAGAACAUGGAUCGAAUUGUAAAUUUGGGACAUUUGAGGGGCUAGUUAGAUUUAUGUAAUUAGUGGUAGGUGGAACAAGCCUAAAAUUAGCAUAUGGUUUAUGUAUAAAUAGGUGGUGUGGUACACUUGAAAGAUCACACCUUUGCUUGGCAAUUGAAUAGAAAUUAAUUUAUUUUCUUUCUUAUUUUGUGUGAAAGAGUGCAGGCAUUCUACCAACUUUUAUUUCCAUUUCAAUUUUUAGCUUAAUUGUUUCCCAAGCCUCAUUUUAAUCUUUCACCAUUUCCAUUGAAAUCCACUUCCAUAACCAACCAAAGCAUGAAUAAAUUCAUGUUUCGUUAAAUUCAAAUUAGCUUUGGUCUGGUACUUUUUCUGGUCAAGAAUCAUGAAAAAUGUAUCCGCACUAAAAAUCUUUCAAAUCAGUAUUCACCAUCUCUUCGAAAUAUUAAGAUUGACAAAUUUAUCCCUUAAAGUUAACUCGAUUUUAAAUCAAAAGGCUCGUUGGGUUGAAGUCAUUUUGGCGUAUAGUUAGAAAGACGAGGUUGUGCUAUAUCUGGAUUUCUGUAAACAAGUUAAGGGAGAUAGUGAUCAGAUUUAAAUGUCCCACGCGGUUGAGGCCGUUAACCCGAGUUGGUUCUUCUGAAUGCAAGUAUACCGAAGUCUUGAAUCGCGAAUACGUGUAUCACAAUUAGAUAAUCAGUAACGGUUGGUUUGUAGGGCGUAUCGAAAUAAACUACGAGAGGAAGAAUUAGUGGUUAGGACGUUCUUAGCCGCUAUAACCAGCUUAUUAUUUAGAGGAAAAAAACUAAUUUUGAGGAUUGAUUCAGAGACCAGACUCAUUGAGUUUAGAGCUAAGGCUUUAUAAUUUUGUUUGCAAAAUCCAAAUUCAUUUUCUAAUUUAAUUUUACUUUUGAUUUCUUUAAUUGCUUAUUUCUGCAAUCUUAAUAAUUUAAUUUCUAGAUAUUUCCAACUCCUUUAAUAUGUUUAAUUUAUUUUUAAGCAGGCCCGUUUGGAGUCGUGAGCACGACUAUUGCCACGAUUAUUGGCUCAAUCGAAAUUCAUAAGAAAAACACUGAAGUUGAUCAUAAUAUUCAAUCCCUGUGGACCCGACCCUACUACUCUUUACUACUGUUUAGAGUUAUUGUAAUUUAGGAAUUAUAUUUGGUGGUUUCGCAACCCAUCAAAUUUUGGUGCCGUUGCUAGGGAUUGGAAAUAUUUUUCUAACUUUUUUUUUGUUUUCCUUAUGACCAGAUCAGAACUAAGGUGUCUAGAAUUUGAAACAGAAAUAGAGAAGUUGGCUCAAAAACUGCGAAGAGAAGCCAUUUGACGUAGUAAAUUCCAGGUUCAAAAUCAUAUCUUACACCGAGGACAUUUUCUGCUUCAACGAACCAGACGAGAUGACAGAACAAACUAUAUGCAAACUCAUAGCAGCCCAAAUGAACAACAACCCCUAUGUAUAACUUAUUUGGCAGGAGGAACGUCGUUCGAGUUGAAAUCGGGCCUGAUUCAUCUAUUUCCCACCUUUCACAGGUUACAAAAUGAAAAUCCGCAAACCCAUCUCAAAGAAUUUCAUAUGGUCUACACAAGCAUGAAGCCUCAAGGAGUAACUGAUGAUCAAAUUAAACUUUGUGCUUUUCCUUUCUUGUUAGUCGACUUUAAUAGAGAAUAACUAUUUUAUUUACCUCUGGGUCUGUCAAUACAUGGUCUGACAUGUCUCGUUUAUUUCUUGACAAUUUUUUUCUAGCAGCUUGAACAGUCGUAAUAAGGAGGGACAUUGUAGGAAUCUGUCAAAAGGAGACUGAAUAGCUCUAUAAUUACUAGAAGCGGUAUAAAAAGUUGUGUGCAAGUUUCCCACAACAUGGAUUGACUAAAUAGUCAUUCUUGCAGUAUUUCUACGAGGGGUUGUUCCCGAUAGAAUUAAAAAUAAUAGAUGCUACAACUAGAGGGGCACUUGUUACUAUGACUCCUCAGGGAGCACAAUAAUUGAUUUCGACAAUGGCUACGAACUCUCAACAAUUUCGACCGACUACAGAACCUACGAGACUAGUUUAUGGGUUAAGUUCUCUAUUUCUAGAAGAUAAAAUUGAUAAGCUAACUAAUGUUAUUCAAAAUUUACUUAUAGAUAAAAAACCCUAGCACGGUUGUUCGAAAUUUGCACUAUGCCAGACCACCUAAUAGACUCAUGUCCAAUUUUACGUGAAAACUUGACAGAACAAGCAAAUGCUGUUGAAAACUUUCUAGGGCCACCCUAAAGGUGAUAUGAUCUCUACUCGAACACAUAUAAUGUGGGGUGGAAAGAUCACUCAAAUCUAAGUUAUGGGUCAAAUUCUCGAUUCAAUCAACCUUACCAACAAAGGCCACCUUCGAAUCAACAAUUACCACCCCCAAAGUCAUCUUUAGAAGCCAUAGUGGAAAUGCUAGCAAAUAGUACUUAGAAGUUUGAACAAAAAAUUGACAUGCAUUUGCAGAAGUUAGAUAAGCAAGUGAGCAACUUGUGCUCAUAGUUAGCCAUUUGGAGUUCUAGGGUAAGUUUCCGUCCCAAAUUGAACCUAAUCAUUGACACAAUACAAGUGUUAUGACAUUGAGGAGUGGGAAGGUUUUAGAACUCAUACCUGGCACGAGUCAUGCCUAGGACAUAGAUUGAGACAAGAAGAAAUUUGAAUCAAAAGUUCCAAUGGAGUCGGUACCACAAAAACCAUUUACAAUACCACUUUCAUUUCCUGGAAAACUUGUCCAAUGUAAGAAGGAGCGAGAAGAGAAUGAGAUCCUCGACACCUUCCGAAAGGUAGAAAUCAACAUUCUUUUUCUUGAUACGAUUAAUUAGAUUCCACGAUAUGCAAAAUUCUUAAAAGAAUUAUGCAUGAGUAAGAGAAAGCUCCUGGACAAUGAAAAUAUGAGUGUCGGAGAAAAUGUCUCCAUAGUUCUACAAAAAAAAAUACCGCUGAAAUCUAAGGACCAAGGUAAUUUUCCAUAUCUUGGAAAAUAGGUAGUGUGAGUAUUUAAAAAGCCAUGUACGACCUAAGUGUAUCGAUUAACGUUAUGCCUUUGUCCAUUUAUAAACUACUAAAUGCGGGUCAUUUAAAGGAAAUAGAUGUAAUCAUUUAGCUUGCAGAUUGGUCAGUAGUGCAUCCGGAGUUAGUCCUAAAGGAUGUUCUUGUCAAGGUAAACGAACUAAUUUUUCUUUUAAAUUUCUACAUCAUCGACAUUAAGGAUAGUAACUCGGCCAAUUCUUUCGAUAUACUAUGUCAGAGACCCAUUUCGAGUACCGUACAACAAAAGAUUGAUGUACGAAGUGGGAUAUUCACUAUGGAGUUCGAUGGAGAAGUGGUGAAAUUUAACAUUUAUGAGGCCAGGAAUCAUCCUAGAACGAUUGCUAACGUUUCUAAUGUUGAUAUAAUUGAGCCUUUAACUGACUUGCAUUUGGAAUAACAUGAUGAAAAUGAAUUAUGAAUUGUUCUUUGUAGAAGUCUAGACUUUGAUCCCAUGGAAGAACUAGAGGAGUAGAUAACUAUCGAAGAGUUUGUUUGCGAAAUAAUGGCUCAUAUGGAGGCAUCGCAAUUAUGGAAAAAUUCAAGUAAAAGUUUUGAAUUGUCUCCUUCACAAACUAAGCUUUUACCAUCUAUUUUGCAGGUCCUUGAAUUGGAACUCAAACCACUUCUGGACCAUUUGAAGUACGCUUUUUUGGGCAAAGGAAAUACCUUGCCAGUAAUAAUCUCGAGUAAACUCUCGAAGUUAGAAGAGGAAAAUUCGGUACGAGUUCUUAGAGAUUAUAAAGGGGUAAUCGGAUGGACGAUUGCCGACAUAAAGGGUUUGAGUCCCUCGACUUGUAUGCACAAAAUUCCAGUUGUAAAGAAUGUAACUCCUAAAAGAGAGACUCAAAGACGUCUCAAUCCGUCCAUGAUGGAAGUAGUAAGGAAAGAAGUUCAAAAGUUACUUGACGUUGGGAAGAUCUAUCCCAUUUUUGACAGUAAUUGGGUCAGCCCAGUUCAUGUAGUGCCGAAAAACUAGUGUGACCGUAAUCGAAAAUUUGGCAGGUGAGAUGGUUCCCACUCAGGUCCAAAACGAGUGGAACAUGCUACAACUUCUCUAACAUUCGUCAAACAUAUAAGAUCACUUGUAACAUGAUUUGAACUCCCUGUAUCAACAAUCUAGUUAUUCUUGGACUUACCUUUCAACCGAUUGGUAGUGGAUUGUGUAUUACUGAACAGUUGCUAGAAGUGACUACCAUUGUUCAGUGGUAAAACCAAGACGUGUUGGUAGUGGUGAUGGUGGUGGUGGAGAAGUAGAAUCGCCGCCAACCAUUGAGAACGAUGAAUUCUUUUUGUGUUAAACACCAAGCUCAGAUACCAUAAUAUUUAUACAGUAGUAGUAAUAGGAAAGAUAUAUAUUAUAUUUCUAAAUAUAUGCCUAAAAGAUAUAUAAUAAUAUACAAUAUAUUUAGAUAUUUCUAAAAGAUAAUAUCCUAACACAACGCAAAAGGUUUGUUCUUAGUGACCUCACCCAAUUUGCCUAGCAUAGGAUAUAACUAAUGGAGAAGGAGGAUUAAAUUAGUUAGAUACUAAAAGAGUUUGAUUAAGACCAUUUAAUCUAGAUUAGUAAUUAUAUAGAUUGAACAAUUAAAUGGGAUAAUUGAUUAACAUGGAUUGAACAACUGAAUGAGAGAUAAUUGAUCAAUUGGAUUAAAUGAAGUUAGAGUUCCAAGUCUUAAGAAUUGAAUAAAAAAUUUAAAAAUUUCCACUGUUUUAGUUUAAAACAACUUAAAAUUUAGUCAUUAUACGAAUUAUAUCUUUUUAUUACUUUAUUAUUUAAUCAACACGUGCACUUGGGUUAUAAAUUUUUACUCCAUCAAAUGGUAUUAAACCAUGAUAUAUGACCCCAAUUUUUAAAUUUCACUUAUCGAAUCUCAAUUCAAACCCAAGUGAGGCGAAUCUACUAUUAAAAACUAUAUUUUUAUGUUAAUAUCUAUAUUUUUUAAAUUUACUUGAAUAAAUCUAAAUUUGUGGAAAAACAGCUUUUAAGAAACGAAAGUCCAUAGGCUUUUUCUUUCAUCCUUCGUUUGGGAAAUUGGAUAAGACGAUGCACAGUUUCAAACGUGUUUACCAAUUUUGCCGUUGAUGGGCUACUGUUCGCCAUUUAUGGGAUAUGUAAUGUGCAAUGUUUCCAUUAAUUACACACUUCAAUUUUUUUAUUCCUUUUAUUUUUCAUAUCCUUCCUUUAAAGCUCUUCGUUGUAUCCAACACCUUUUCAUUAUAUUAAAUAUUCUAUUACACGCGAAUGUGUGAAAGUUAUAAAUUUAAAAUAUAAAUAUUUAAUUAAAAAUAACAUAUAAUAAAAGAUAAAAUAUAUAAUUUAAGCUAAUUAAUAAUAACAUGUAAAAUAUAUAUUAUUAAAAUUAAAAACUUAAAUUAAAAUAAAUAAACCUUUUAUUUCUUAUAUAAUAUAUGUAUAUAUUUUUAUUAGUAGGUCUAGUUAAUACCAUGUUCAAAUUAUUUUUAAUUAAUAUAAAUAUAAAUAUAAAUAUAAAUAUAAAUAUUAGAUUAUAAAGUGUGCAUAAUAAAAUUAAAUAUAUAAAAAUAUCAAUAAUAAAACUUUAAUGAGUGAUAAAAUAAAGGUGUUAUUGAUGUAAUUGAUGUGGGUUCAAGUCUCACCAUAUACAUAUUUUUAUUGGUUUUUAAAGUGGAAAGACUAAAAUACCCUCGAAUAAUAUAAAUUUUUUUUAAUUAUGGAAGAGCAUUUUCAUAACUUUCUAACCUGAUUGAUGACCCAAUUGAAGAUGACAGCAACUCAAUCAAGAGUUUUCUUAAUAGUAUUGAUGUUUUUUGAAGUGGCCUAAUUUUUUUUAUAAAAGUAAAUUAUCUCUAUAUAAAGGCAAAAUAGCCCAAAAAAACACAAUUUUUCAAAAGAAGGACUCACUUACACUAGUAUAAAAUAAAAUAGUUUUAUUUUACACCCUAUUAUAUAUCUUUAUAUGAUUAAUAUUUUAACAAUUCAACCGUCAUAUUUUGUAUUUCAGUCAUAUACAUAAUACAUAUCAAAUUUUAUGUAAAUUAAGAAUUUCUAACUAUUUGUAUAAUAUAUAAAAGAGAUAUCAAAUUAGUUCAAAACUUUACAUGCAUAAUAAUAUGAUUAUAUUGAUACAUUUCAUAAUUAAAUUAUUAAAAUAUUAUUUAUAUAAAGAGAUAAAAAGAUGUAAAAUUACUUAUAUAAAUAAAUAUUUUCUAAUAAUAAUCUUUUAAUUACCCAUGAUAUAAGUCACUUCAUUCAAUUAUUUUAAGGAUGUAGCGACGUAAAUCAAAUCAGUUUGGUGGAACUAUUAAUCCGAAGGGGCAAUGACCCGAUUCAUACAAUCAAUAUACAAGAUGAAUUGAUAUAUUUGUUUUUAUUGGAGAGAGAGUGUGUUCCUUAAUGUACAAGUAGUCAAAUAAUUUACCUAUAAAAUCAAAAUCAUGUGAAUCUUACGAGUUUUAUUUUGAUUUCAAAUAAAAAACAAUUUUAAUUUACCCUAGGGUUGUAUUCGAUCACACAAAAACACUUAUUUUGGUAAGUAAAUUUGGAUCACCCAAAACGAAUUGUAUAUAAAUUAUUGAAGCAUUAUUGUUGAAGGUUGGUCUAGAAAAUACUACAAAAAGAAAUUGUGGUUGCUUUGUGUUCCCUUGGGAAUGAAGUGUCAGCAUUGGAUAAUUGAUGAGGAAGAUGCACACGUCUUACACACGUACACAAUUGGGUCAAUUUUUGAAUAUGAUAGUAUUUGGCUUCAUAUAAAUAUUCUUUUUCUAGAGUCAAGUGGGGAUCGUUGCAUGAUUGUUUGGCAAUCUAUGUUAUUUGUAUAUGCAAUUUCUUUAUCAAUCAUAUCCUUAGGAUAUUCUAGAUUUGAUUUUAAUUUCCAUAAUCAUCCUACAGUCUAUUUCUUUUUUCACUUUGUUUAAGGACAAGAGGAAAAAUUUUGAGAGAAUCAAAAGACACAAAGGAGAGGAAAUAAACUAAACUCCAGCUAAUAGGUUUAUCUCGUACACUUAUUCUAUGCGACUCUCCUUUGGAAGAUAACAUCAAUAAGAGAAUCAAAUUUAUAACACGACGUAAAAGAUAAAGCCACUGCAUUAAAUGAUGAACCACCUUAUUCGCAUCCCUUAAAAUCUUCAACUAACAAACUAAACACCAACCUCCUCCAUCGCACAGCUGAGUGAACUAUUGAAUCCUAGGAAACAUAUGUUGAAAAGGCUGAACUAUUCUUAAAGAAAUCAAAGGAAAACAAAACAAUAAUAGAAACUGGAAUAUGAAAAAUGGAGAAGGUAAAUUUAAUUUGCUAUUCUUUCAAUUCAUGAAAUCUGGAAAAGUAAACUUGUUUUCAUUCCUACAAACGUACCCUAUAUACACAUGGCUUCUACUGUUAACCACUGAAGUAUAACAAUAUACCUACUAAAUAAUUUUAACCUCUACAACUACUAUUUUGCUUGUAACUCCCUAAACUACUAACUGAUUUUAACAAAUUCUUCAACUAUACACUUUGUUAAUUUUGAUAUUCUAAUAUUCACCUAUCUACUCCACUUUCGAGACCCGCAAAAGUUGUCGAAGUUUACAAACAUACGAAACUGAUAACGGUUUAGUAAGAAUGUUCACCACUUGGUCACAAGAGGGUACUUUGCCGACGAUAAAAGAUCCGUCGCCAACCUUCUUAGGAACAAAAAACAGAUCAAGCUCAACAUGUUUAAACUUCGAAUAAUCGCUCUGAAAUUGCUUAAUGUCUUUCCCAAAUUGAGUUGUUACCAUUUUCUGAAAUUGACUAAAACACUCAACAACUUGAGAUUUGCGUUGAAUAGGAAAUAUCCAUGUAAACCUACUGAAAACAUCAACAAAUGAGAUAUAAUACCAACUAUUACCACAGUUAACUAUUGUUGGUCCCCAUAAAUGUAACACAACCAAUUCAAAUGGAACAAUAUAUACUGUAGUUGAACUUGAAAAUGGCAACUUGUGAGACUUUCCCUUUUGACAAGCAGAACUUACAUGAUCAAACUUAUUUUUAUUCGCAACAAUAUUACAUGUCUUCAAAACUGAGCUAACAACACAAGCUAAAGGAUGUCCCAAAUGACGAUGCCAAACUUCAAAUAAUUCAUCAUUCGAGGAAUUCGACACUAAGACGACAUUAUGUGUGGAUGGAGUCAUACGAGUAGCAUAUUUGAUUACUGGUGAGAACCAAUAAAACUCAUCAUGAGUGUGGCCCGACAACAAAACGUCCUAAGUCUGAAUAUCCUUAAUCACACAGUGAAACAGGUGAAACUACAAAAAUCAUUAUUCUCUCGAGCAAAUUGUGAGACGAAUAGCAAAUUUUUCCAAAUAGUUGGCACAUGUAAGACAUUAGACAAAUGAAGCAAUUUAUUUUGAGUAGUUAAUGUAGAACGACCCACAUACUCGAUUUUAGAAUUCGUACUAUCACUCAUUAGAAGUGCAACAUUACCUGAAUACAGAGUGGAUUUAUCUAAUGCCGAUGUGUCUCUAGACACAUGAUGAGUUGCUCCCGAGUCAGAAUACCAAAAAGCUAUAUUAUUAUUUUUCACAGGUGAAGGAAUAUACGCUCCUCAGUCCCAAAUGUUUUAGUGCCAAAAUUUGAUCCAACACCAUAACCAUAUGAAUUUGCACUGGUCUCACUUCCAUUUGAAAACUCGGGACCAAAAACAUCAGGAAUUCGUGAAAGACCGAAUCAUGACGAGGACUCCAUGAGUGGGUCUUAAACGAAUGGUCCCACACCGGCAUUAUGGUUCGAACCUUGGAAAAUUUUCGCUCUAGGCUUUGUAGAUCAAUUGCGACACACUUCAUGUCCUACAUGCGGCCUAUUUCUAUUUAAACUUCUUGGCUGCCCAUUUCCAUUAAAACAUUGUGGCUGCCCAUAUCCAUUAACACUUUGUGGCCCAAUUGCCGAUGGCCCACUUCCAUUGUGACCAUAUGAUCCAAACCUUGAAGACCCAAAACUCAUAUGGUUAAAAAAUGGACUAGGGUCUUGAAAGCAUACCAUAUUUUCCAUUAGGGUUAUACCCUUCAUGUGCGACAGCAUCAAGGGUGAGCCAAAAUUUGUACCGGUGGUCGAACCAACAACUGCACAUAUUUCAUGAUGAAACCGCUGGUCCAUCAUCGCCGGAGAACUCCCAAAUGGUCCAUUACCCUUUGGAUUUGCAACGAACCUCGUUGUUUCAUCAAUAGGGUGCUAUUCGAGAGUCGCUGGAGAAGACACCAAUACCGAAGGUCCAUCAUGACAUUGAUCGAACCUUUAAUAGCAUCAUUGCGCUAAAUGGCCACUCUUUCCACAGAUUUGACAUUGUACUCGUCCGUGCACACUCCUUUCACGACUACUGGAGAACACUCAUUCACCCCUCAUCGUGGAAUCCAUGGACGAGAACGAUGAGUUCAGACUAUGGCUCAGCAUGUUUGCUUGAAGAGGGGUCUGUGUCACCAUCCUCUACUGUCAGCUUUUGUGCUCCAAGAGGAUAUCCACCAGUCGCCGCAAUGGGAGAGGCUUCAAUGAGAAAGAGGCUAAGGUGACCACCAUAUCAAACUCCGACGAGAGCCCUGCAAGAAUGAUCUCUAGUUUUUUCGAUUCAAACACUGAGUGCCUAGAAGCUUCUAACAGGGCACAGGUAUUCUGGAUUCUUGAAACAUAUUCUUUGAUUGUGUGAAAUCCUUUCUUGAUUGAACUUAAUUCGUGUUUGAGUCUAGGCACUUUCGCUCUCGAUGCGACCGCAAACAUUCAAUUUGCAAUCUCCCAUACAUCGCUAGCCGAGUGAAUCCCUGUAAAAGAUGAUAACAGGGAGUUGCUAAUCAUGGACAAGAGCCACGAAGCAAGUAAUUUGUCCUGAAACACUAUAAAAUUAGGGUUUAAACACAUUUUCCCUUCUUGAUCCAGGAUAAAAUGUGGAGGUACCGGAAUAGAUCCAGUCACAUAGCCGGUAAGACCAUAACCCUCAAGUAUUAAUUUCAAAUGUUGUUGCCACUGUACAAAAUUAUUAUAAUCUAACCUUAUCAUUUCAUGAAGAGAAAAAUUUUGAACUAUACGAGAUCUCACAGGCUCGAAAUGGCACGAAAUUAUAGGACUCGGAGCAGGAGAGGACGAGACUGGAGGCACGCCAUUGGGAGCAGAAGUUGAUUCAACAGACAUUGUGUUAAUCAUAGCGGAAGGUGCCCAAGAUCAGGCGAAAGAUACCAUGAAAAGACUAAACUAUCCUUAAAGAAAUCAAAGGAAAAUAGAAGAACAAUAAAAACUGGAAUAUGAAAAACAAAGAACGUAAAGUCAAUUUACUAUUCUUUCAAUUCAUGAAAUCUGGAAAACUAAACUUGUUUUCAUUCCUGCAGACGUACCCUAUAUAUAUAUACAUGGCUUUUACUGUUAACCACUGAAGUAUAACAAUAUACUUGCUAAACAGUUUUAACCUCUACAACUGCUAUUCUAUUUAUAACUCCCUAAACUACUAACUGAUUUUAACUUCUUCAACUAAAAAACUUGUUAAUUCUGAUAUUCUAAUAUAUAUCCUCACAAACAUCGAUUGAGCCACCUCCCAUUGCUGGAAAGAAUUAUUAGCAACCUAAAUAACAUGCAUAACAUAAUGUGCAUCAACUUUCCAAACUAGUUUUGAUGCAACCAGAGACUCCAAAGAAAAUAAAGAUGAUGACACGUCGUAGACGAAUCAGAGCAUUAAUCAACAACACAAUGAACUGUUAAAGCUCUUCACCAUCUUACAUUUCAAAAAGAAAAAAAACGCAUGUCUUUACUAAUAAUUUGAAAUACAUCAACCAAAGCUACAAUUUUUUUUAGUAAUCACAUAAGAAGAUACAUAUUAUAUAUAUAUAUAUAUUCAAAUAUGAGAAUUCUUACAAUUACAACGAAAAAAAUUAAUUAUUCAUUAAAAAAAAUUAUUAUUAUUUGUCAAAAUUUUAAAUUAGGGUUAAAUAUAAAAUUAGUACAUGAACUUGUCCACUUCUCCCAGAUUGAUACUUAUGGUUUUUUUUUGUCUCAGAUUGGUACUCGAACUUUUUUUUCCAUUCACUGGUACUUGAGCCUAACGAUGUUAAACUUUUGUUGACAUGGCAACGAUGGCCACUUGCACGCCGUCACGUCUCGUAAUCCUAACACCCUCUUUGACCCGUGUUUCCUUUUUUUUUGACCCAACCCCUUAGAAUAUCUUUCCUUUAAAUUUUAUUUGCCUUUAAAGUAAAUUUUUUACCAUCAUCUUCAACAUUUUUCAACAUCUUCUCUUUUGUCUUCUCUGCAAUCUCUUUUCUCUUUUGUUUUCUCUACCUUCUCUUUCAUUUUCUCCUCUUUUGUUCAUCCAUUAUUAUUUUUCUUUCACUUCUUCAUUUUCUAUCUCCUACAUUUUCCAUCUCCUUCACAUCUCCACCAUGUCUUCUUCUACAAACAGAAAAUCUGGUACGUAGAGAAGUGUUGUGUACUGCCAUUGUAGGUUAAGGGCUUCUGUUUGUAAUGUGAAUACUCUAAAGAACAAAAGGAAAAAUUCUUUGGGUGUUCAAACUUCAAAGAGGUAAAUUAGGGUUAAUGUUUUUGAUAUGCCAUUUUGUUGUAAUUUGGGUUUAAGAUGUAUUCUUAGAUUUUUAAUAUUUUGUUUUUUUGUGUUGAAUGUGAUAAAUGAAAAUUGGGGGAUUUGAUUUUUUUGGUGGGUUAAAGGUUACAGUAAUGGGACGGACUCAAUUGCAAAAGAAGAAAGAUGCACAGUUGAUGAGAUAAUGCUAGAAAAUAAGAUGUUAUUGAUAGAGAACAGAAGAUUAAGACUUGAGAAUGAUGAGCUCAAUAUUGAUGAAAUGCGAAGAAUGCGAUUGAGGGUAACUUGUUUGGAAGAGAAGAUAAAAUUGUACAAGGAUAAAAUGUUAAGGAACAAAAAAUUAAUAGUUGCUUAUAAGUUGUUAAUUGUAUCAUGGAUGAUGUUUUUUUUUGGUUAUCUUGCUUGUGGAUGGUGAAAUGAUGUCCAUGUAUUUGCAUUAGUUGUUAAGAUUAAAUGAAUUGAAUUGAAUGAAAAAUAUUUUGUUUUGUUUUGUAAUGUUGUUGUAAAAGUAUACGCAGAUACCAAAAUCGACAUCAACAAAAUAGAACCAUCCAUUACAACCAUCAUAUAUAAAGGAUCAAUAUAAAUUGUCCAUCAAAAUACAACCAUUAGAAUGAUUCAACAAAAUAAAACCGUCUAUCAAAAUACAUCCAUCUAAAUGAUCCAACAAAAUAAAACCAUCCAUCAUAUGUUAACAAAAUAAAACUAUCAAAUUAAACAUGGAUUGAUAUCAACUAUCUCUAUGGCUUACAAUUGUGUUUAGGACUUACACUUUUUUAUGUUCCUACUUUCCUGAAUCCCAUCAGUAGUUUCUUUGUUGAUGCUUCCCUUCUUUUUAUUGGUGCAUUUGGUUGGGGAAAUCAGCAUGGUUUCCCCUCUCUACCAGGCUACAAUGCAUAAAAUAAAUAAUUAAAAAACAUGUGAACAAAAUACAAUAAACAAUUUAACAAUCGGCUACUUACAUUCAAAAUUUGCAUCCUUGUCCUCUCAUCUGUGUAUAACCUAAUCCCUUGCACAACUUGUUUUCCCUGCUACAAAGUCUUGUAAGUAUUUGUUGUGUUGAAGAGAUUGGCAUGCUAGGAGGAGUUGGUUGUGUUGAAGGAGCUGGUGGUGAUGAUGCAGAUGCUUCAGAUGCAACAGUUUGAGAAUGAGUUGGUGGAGUAGGAUCAAAAGGAGCUGGUGGAAAAGGAGUUGGUGGAGCUACUCCAGCUAGUGGAAGUGUACUCUACAAAUUAAACAUGUUUUGCAUUAAAAAUCUUAAGACAAAAUUACACUUACAGUAGAUGAAGUUAGACAGAUUCUUUUGUCCCAUACCGGUUUUCAACCAAAAUUUCCCACUUAAGAUAGCAGGCAUUACAAAGCCAUACAACUUUUAAAGCAGAUCUUUUUUAAACCCCUUAUAUACAAAAUAAAAAAAAGCUUCUUUUCCACAAAAUGGCUGCAACAACAUGUGAACAUGGGAUGCUAGUGAGAUUCUAUCUUCUACAACUACAUGACCAGUGAAAUAAGUCAACAACUAUAACAUCACCAAAGUUUGCCACUUCAAAGCCUUCUUCUCCAUUCCAUUUAACAUGAUAGUAUGAACUAAUUUGGAUACUCUUGUAUAACUUCUAACAUAUCUUUGAACAGAAUUGGUCAUUCCUAUUUUUACAUUUGGCCAAAUUGUUUACAAUCCUCCCAAUAACAUAUUGCCUAGUUUCUUAUAACAUGGAAAUUAUAGACAUUGACUUAGCUCCUAAAAUUGUUGCAUUAAAGGACUCGACAAAAUUGUUGUCAGUUGCAUCAUAUAUGGACUUAUCAGAAAAAAGGCCUUUAACCAUUUCUUAGGAUCAGUCCUAUGUAUACUUAUCUUAGCACUAUGUUUGAUAUGGUCAACCUUUUCAAUGUGUCAGCAAUUAUGUGUGAUUGCAUGCUCUCCAAAAUGCUUGUUGCAGGUCUCCUCCAGGAUUUUCUUUCUUUCAAUUGGCAUAUAGAUACCUUGCAUAGACUUUGUGCUCAACCAUUGGUAACAACUCAGAAUUCUCCUCUAUCAAUCCCUAAAUGCAAACAAAAAUAAUGGAAUUAGAUGGCUAGUUUAUUAAAGUAAACAUAAUAUUACAAAAUUAUUUAGUUAAUGUCUUUAACAUACCUUCUGUUUAUCAAUCAUAAAAGUCAAUCCAUAACCAUCACCAAUUUCUAAAUCUGAAAUAAGAUUAUUAAGAAGCCAUCUCUAUGUUUCUUUACUUUCAUUCUCCAUAACUGCCCAUGAAAUAAGGUAUAUUUGGUCAUUACCAUCUCUCCCCACAACACACAAAAGUUCCCCCUUGAAUCUUCCAUUCAGAAAGCAUUCAUCCAGACAAAUAAAAGGUCUACAACACUAUAGAAACCCUUUUCUCAAAGCACUAAAUUUUACAUAAAAUCUCUUAAACUUGGGAACCUCAGUAGAGGUUGGUCUUUCUACCAUCACCUCUAUAUUUCCAAUCGAGUCUACUUUUCUAAGUGCAUUUGCAUAGUCCUAUAGUAUGUUAAACUCAUAGCUUAGCUUUCCAUUUAUUUCCUCCAGUGCCCAUUUCCUAGCCCAGCUGCAUGUACCCUUACUAAUAUCAACUUUCAAUUCUUCCUUGGCUAGUUUCUGCAUCCCAGUUAACUUUGGCUUUGGAAUCACUUUGAUUUUACUUAAGAAAUGCUCCCAAACAAACUUGUAAGAUGCCAUUUUGUUCUUAAAAUUUAUAAAACACUUGUGGGUUUCUAUGAAGGUUUUUAUCUUGUAAAACUCAUCACUAUUAUCUACAACAACAUAUAUUCUAAAAGGACACCCAUCUUCCCUACACCUAGCCUUAGUCCUCAAUUUUUCAUUCCUAAGAUAGAUAAUAUCAAACCUUUUUUUUAUACUUCAUACUUUGUUAAUGCAGUCUUAAAUUCCUCUGGUCCCCUAAACACCAUAGCAAGCUCCAAAUGUGGGAUUGGGUUAUUAGGAUAGAAACAUACAUGUCGGCUUCUUCUACAGACUACAUCACCAUUUAAAUUACUUCCAGAGGAUCCCAAAUCUGAUGAAUCAAUGUAAUCAAUUCCUCCACCUGAUGGAUCUGAAACCUUACCAUUUUUCUCUCCCCUUUCACUACAUUCACCUACCUUUGGACCCUCAUUGUAACAUUCCUAACCCGUUUCUGUCGCCGGAUUAGUGUUACAAAGUGUCACAGUACAAUUAGAAACAUUUAACCUAAAACAUAAAAAAUUACUAAAAUAUAAUAACAACAUUCAAAAACUCAUUUUACGUUAAGUAAAAGUACUCUUAUGGGUCUUAAAUCGAGCUUAUGGGGCCCUAAAAAUAGUUUAGAAACAUUCAAGGAGUAAUUUGGAACAAAACAAAAAAUUUUGGAAAAAACUUAAAAAUUUUGAAACAGGGGUCACACGACCGUGUGACAUAGCUCAGGUCAUGUGGCCAACCGUGUUAAAUUCAAAGUAUAGGACACACGGCCAUGUCCCAGCUUGCGUGUGUGUCUGUGUAGGUAUUCGAAAUAGGGUCACACGGCCAUGUCACAGGCCAUGUACCAAGCUGUGUGGACAUUAGAAGUUUGGUCACACGACCAUGUUGCCAGGUCGUGUAACUCUCUGAGACCGUGUGGUUCAUCUUGCACCUAAAAAAUUAAAAUGACAUACGACCAUGUGGUAUGGCCGUGUGUGGCACAUGGCCGUGUGACAGCCUGUGUGCUUCACAAAUUACCCUAAUGCAAGCCAAAUCAAACCCAAUUGCUUGGGCACCAAACCAAACCAAUUCAAGGUACUUUCACAAUACAAACACAUUCAAGGACAUCAAAACAUGCCAAAAAUCAAUAAUCCUAGGUGCCUAACCAAUGUGCCUGCAUUGACACCACAAUCUAUAAGCCAAAAUAAACCAAAUCAAACACCUAACAAGUAUCAAACUCAUUUUUAUUUAAACUCAUCGUAAACAAACUAAUCACAUAGCCAAAUGGCCAAUCAAUCAUACCAUUUAUGUCUAAUUUCAAGAACCCAUAAUUUCAAUCAACUUUCACCUUAAGUAUAUAUACUUAGAACUACUCAAACUUUCAUUUCAAUCCAUACACAUAUAAAUAACUAAUUCACUAGAUCAAGGUACCAAACAUAUAUACAUAACCACAAAAUACUACCAAAUUUAAGUACCAAACCCAGACAACAUGUAAGAUUCCAUUCAUAACCAAAUUCUAAAACAACUUAAAACAUCUACCAAAGAAGAGAUGGAUAGUGUAUAUGCUCCGACUUGAACUUUUGAUCCACUAGGCUUCACGAAACCUAUAAGAAAAACCUACCACGUGAGCAUAAUAUGCUUAGUAAGUUCAAAUUCAUGUAAACACAACUUAAUUAAUAAACUUACUUUACGUAAAACAUACAUAAUCCUAAAACACUCUUAUAUAUUCAAAAAUGCUUAUUCAGAUAACAAACCUUAAAACCUUUACAUAAUGGUCCUUCAAUUGAUAUCCUUUUCAACAUUUCCUUUGUUUCGAGGAUGCCAUCGUAUAUUUCAACCAUUGUCUUGCACAAUCCCGAAACGUUGCCAUAGUGUCUUUCAAUCAUGAUCUUUUCCUUUUCAAGUAUAAUGCCAUGAUAUAUUUCAAUCAUAGUUUUUUUUCUUUACCAAAUUCAAGAAAAUUCAAUCACCAAUUGAAAGAUAAGUAUUAAGAGGUAUCAAUUUAUAUACUAAAAUCAAAUGAAUUAUUUUAAUAGAAUUACAAACUUACCUCGAUUGAAACGGUUAUUAAAACGGAGUUGACAACUAGUUUGAAACUUUGGCUUUUCCUCAGUUUACAUUCGGUUGUGGCAUUUCUUGAUCUAAAUAACAAGUUUAAUCAAAUAAUAGCAUUUCAGCACUUAAAUAAAUAGUUUAUACAUUUAAGCCCUUACAACAUCAUUUUACAUAAUUACCCCAACAUUUUAACUUUUGUAUAAUUUAGUCUUUAAACCUGAAACUUGAAAAUUCACCAUUUUUUAAAGAAAAACUCUACUAGACAAUUUUACUAGAGGUUCAUUACAACCCAUAUAUUUCAAAAAUUCACCCUAUCUUUCAUUGAAUUUAUCAAAAUCAUAAAAAAAUCACUUAACAAAAUACUUAUUUUUAACUACCAACCUUAAUAAUCUAUCAAUAAAAUUCACAAACACCUCUAAUUCAUUCAUGGCAAGUCCCUAAACAUUUAAAAAAUGUUACGAAUUGACCUCUGGGCUAGCUAGAUUAAGCUAAUACAAACUCAAAAACAUAAAAAUCAUUAAAAACAAACCAAAAUUUCAUACCAUGCAAUAGGAUUUUUAAUGGCUGAAACUUUCUUCUCCCAUAGAAAUGGCUAUUAGGUUCAAAACAAAAGAAAAAGGGAAGUAGAUGAUGAUAUUUCUUUUAUCAUCUUUUGUUUAAUUUUUUUAAUUUACCUAAUUAUAAAAUUAACCUUUAAAAACCAUUAAAAUUACACCAAAACCAAACCAAUACCAUCCACUAACUAAGAAUAUGGUAUUUUUACCUAAUAAGUCCAUUAACUUACAUUUCCAUAGCUAUUUAACCCAUUUAACUAAUAGAAACCAAAUUUUGCAUCUUUUAUGAUUUAGUCCUUUUUACUUAAUUAACUAUUUAAACAUUAAUAUUUCUCAACCAAAUUUUAAUAUUACUCAAAUAAAUAAUAAAAUAGUAAUUCUCUCAUCCGAAUCAUGAUUUCGAAACUACCAUUUUUGACACCACUGAAAACAAGCUGUUACACUUACAGUUAACCUUAUUUGCUCUGUUACAGUUACAGUUAACCUUAUUUGCUCAUUCUCUAUUUUUUUCCUUUAUAUUUUCUGUACGAAUCCUUGAUAUUUCUCACCUCUUCAUCCUCAGAUUCUACCCCUAAUGCCCCAUUCAUUGCUUAAUGAGUUGUCUAUAUCACUGGCCCCACUACUUCUAGAACUUUUUCCACUCUCAGCACAUGCAUCACUAUUCCCACUGAAGUCUGGUCCCAUAUUAGAUUUCCCACCUAACUCAAUAAAUGUUUCCCCAACCCCACCAUUAACUCUCUUAUUAUAAUUUAAUUCUUCGUUACAAUUUGGUUCAUCAACACCAAUAUUUACAUCCUUUUCACUAAUGAAAAACAACAACAUGGUAUCAUCAACAACAUCACGUGUGUCUACCUCGUGUUCAACAUAUACAUGUAUGGACCUUCUUUUUCUAAUAUGGUUAAUCAUGGCUAUGAAUGAUGAAUUAUCAUAGCAAACACGCAGCCCCUUACUAAAAUCUAUCCCAUCCUCACAGUAUACAAAGUUCCUACAGCUCUAUACCUAGCUUCCACUACUAUCUCAUAAAAAGUGUAAUAACACAAAAUUUGGGUCGAAAUCCCAUUGCAGCACUUCCCCUCCAACAUAAUAUGCACAAGUGUUUGUAACAAAAGUUCCAUCCAAAUGCAUAUGCACUACACAUUUAUCCCAAUACAUUAUUGGACACUGCACAUGCGUAAUAUAAACUGUAAUAUACAUACAUAUUUUAAACAGUGCUAAACAUAACAUACAUACAUAAACAGUAAUAAACAAUAAUAUAUAUAAAAGUAAUAUACCACAUAAUAUACAUACAUACAUACAUACAUACAUACAUACAUACAUAACAAUAAUAUACAACAUAACAUACAUAAUAUACAUACAUUAAACAUGAUAGAAAUUCAUCAACAGUAAUAAACAUAAUGUACAUAAUAUACAUACAUAAGAAUAAUAUACCACAUAACAUACAUACAUACAUACAUACAUACAUACAUACAUACAUACAUAACAAUAAUAUACAUAACAUGCAUAAUGUUUAUACAUAACAGACAUACAUAACAGUGAUAUACUACAUAACAUACUAACAGACAUAUUCAUAACACACAUAACAGACAUACUAACAAGCAUACAUAACAAACAUAAUAACAACAUACAUAGCAGUAGUAUAUAUAACAUACUUUGCUAAAGAGAUAUACAUAACAGAUGUUAUAGGCCAUUUUUUCCCGGGCCCAAACCAAAAGCAACCCAAUUUCCAAAAUAAUUAAACAGUCCAAAAAAUAAAUUACAAGCCAAAAAAUAAAAAAACCUAGUGGCCCAAGUGGCCCACAACCUAAAUUUAAUUUUUAGUAAAAUAAAAAAACCUAGCCCUAACACCUCUCUCGGCAUGCACGACGCUCGAUGACGACUCCUCACUGAGGUUGCACCGGAAUGGCAAUGGUUUUUGCCCGUUGACUCCACCACCUGCAAGACAAGAGAAAGAAAAAAGACUAUGAAAACAGAGAAAGAAACAUAGAGCAAAAGCAAAAAUAGACACAAACAGCAUGUAAAUCGGCUAUAAAAGGCCGCAUUAACCAUGUAAUUUUUACACACUGAGAAUCCAAUUUUGAGAGAAUAUAAAUCAGUCCAAAAGGUUUAUAUUUACAGUUUUUAUUUUAGCUUCACUUUAUUCUACUGUUAUUAUUAUUUAUCUGCAUCCGAAAAUAAAACAAAGAAAGAAAGAGGAAUAAAAACUGACCUAUAUUCGAGUCUUCGCCGUCGAAAACCGAAAGGUUUCUUUAGAUUCGGGUCCUUUUUGUCAAUAUUUUAGAGAUUUUGGGGGUAGAUUCAGGUUUAAGGGCUUUAAAGGAAUCAGACCAAAAAUUCUAACCUUUUUCAGCCAUCGCAUGCGGCUGUGCCGUCACUAGUGGCCGAUGCGGUGGACCGGUGGCCGGAGCCCUAUACCGAACCUCAGAUGGCCAUAGAGCAGAGAAAUUCUCUCUCUUUUUCCUGGUAGCUGUUAAUAAUGAGUUUUAGGUUUUUUUAGUCUUUUAUAAAUGUAUCAAAACGGCGUCAUUUUGGGGAGGUCGGCCUGAACUCGACCCAUUUGCCAGGAGGAUCCGCUUGUUUUUGUGGCUAGGGUAUAAUUGCUACCCUAGUCCUUCCGCCUUUCUUUGUGUUUUCAAUUGAAUAUUCUUUAUUUUUGCAAUUUCAUCCCGUUUUUCUUUAUGUUUUCAAUUCGGUCCCUUCUUGAACACUGUCAUUUUAGGGUAGAGGGAAAAUUACUAUUUUGGCCUCUUUAUACCGCGCGCGUGUUCAGAAAGAUCCCUUUUAUUUUGCAGAUUCGUCCUAAAGUUUUGUCUCCAGUUCAAAUUAAUCUUUUAUAGUUUUUCUAUUUAAUUAACUAAUUUUAAUAAUGCCGUCAUUAUUUUUCCUAUUGUUAUUUUUAAUAUUAUUAUGUUUAGCUGUUCAUAUAUACCCUUUCAAUUUUAAAUUUAAUUAUAUAUAUAUGCAUAUCUUUGAUUUAUACAUACAUACUCUUAUACUUUUGAUAUUUUAUAAUUUGUGUAUACAUUAUAUAUGCCUUUUAUAACAUAUAUAUAUACACCUACACGUACAUAUUUGUAUAACUUAUUUAUAUAUAUAUGCAUAUAUACAUACUUAUAUAUUUUUAUAUCUUUUAUAAUUUGUAUACGCAACUAUAUAUAUCUACAUACACAUAUUCUUUUUUCAUAAAUAUAUAUACACCUAUUUAUAUAUUCUUUAUAUUUUGAAAUGUACCUUUUUUACAUGUGUUUUUAUUUAUAAUUUAUAUACACAUACAUCGUGUAUAUAUUUUACAAUUUAUAUACAUAUAUACAUAUAUAUACAUUUACGUAUAUCUUUGUUGUUUUUUUUAUAUUUUAUAAUUUCCACGUACAUAUAUAUAUAUUUAUACUUUUAUAUUUUUAUAAUUUUGCUCAUGAUCAUUUUAAUUAUUUAUUCACGUCUUCAUUAUUAUUUUUAAAAGAAUAUUUCAAUCUAAUUUAUUCACAUAUUUGUUAUUAUGCAUGUUAUUAAUUUGUCAUUUUUAUUCAUUCAUUUUUUUGUUAUUGCUCGUAUUAUUUAUGUGUACAUCAUCGUGUUCAUUUUUAUUUUGUUACACAUAUUGAUACCGUGAUUCAUUUCUACUAUUUCGUGUUAGAUUAAUUUAUUUCAAUGCAUAAAUUACGAUUUUUGAAUAAGCAAAAUCUCGUGUUUAGAUUCAAGAAGGUCGUACCCUAACUUACUAGGUUUCGAUUUUCACAAUAAAUCUAAAUACACGAAUCCUUUCAAACUCAAGUUUUAAAUGAUCUCGGGAAUUAAGAGGAGAUUGUGUCCUAACUUACUGGGCAUGAUCAUUUUUUUCUCAAGCUUUAAACAAUCUCGGGAAUUAAGAAAAGAUUGUGUCCUAACUUACUGGGCAUGAUCCUUUUUUCUAAAGUUUUAAACAAUCUCGAGAAUUAAGAAAAGAUUGUGUCCUAACUUACUGGGCAUGAUCCCCCUUUUUUAAUCUGAGAUGGCGAAAUACCUUUUAAAUAAGUAAAUUUUGGCAUUCAUUCGUGCAUCGGGAAUUCAAGACAUUGUGUCCUAACUUACUAGAUACAAUUCUCUUUCUCGAUUAAUGUGAAAUAUGCUUUUUUCUCAAAAAUUUUCAACAUUUCAAUAAAGGAUCGUAUUUUAAAUCUCUUUAAAAUUUUCAAUCCUUGACACUAAGAUAUUAAUUAAUCAACUAGGUACCAAUUUUGGGCGUUACGAGGGUGCUAAUCCUUCCUCGUACGUAACUGACUCCCGAACCCCUUUUUUGAAUUUUGUGGACCAAAAUAGUUUUUUAAUAAAAAUUAAAUCGUUUGUUAAAAACAAUCACUUUUCAAGGUGACCCGAUCACACCUCAUCAAAAAAAGAUUGGUGGCGACUCCCAUGUUCAUUUUCAUUUUCAAAAUCCAUGUCGACCCCGUUUUAUCAAAAAAAUGGUGUCAACAGCUUGGCGACUCCACUGGGGAUGACACAAGAGUCAAGCUACUAGUUGAUUACUUUUUGUCUUUUUGUCGAAAAUCGAAAACUUGGUUUAAAUAUAGGAUCCUUUCGUUGCAUUUUCAUUCGUCUUUAUUACUAUCUUCAUCAUUGUGAUUUAUAUCUUUCUGCACAUUGCAUUGCAUGACCUUUUGUCACACCCUUUUAAGUGGGAGUUAGAAACUACGCCUUCGUCAGGUUUUCACCUCCGCAUGGGAUAGUGAAUCGCUUCUGGGAUACAUCUGUACUUAUGUCUUCGUGAGAUUUUCAUCUCCACUCGGCCAUAGGGAAAUGUAUUCCCCUAAACUAAACUUGGUCCAUAUGAGCCUAUAAUGGGUGAGGAUCGAGGAAUCUGCCGGUUCGAGUACCUUUGCCUUAGAAGCCAAGCCGCAUGUAGUGAACCUUAGGAACUCACCUUAGGUAGAACUACACCUUAAUCUUGUUAGAUACCCGGAUAUGUGUUUUAUUGUUUCUGGAUUGUCUUGGAUUGCAUGUUUAUACCUGAUACUGACUUUCUAUGUUUUACUUUGAAUGCAUGACAUUUCAUCUACAUGGCACUUCAUCAUAAAAUGCGUUAGUUCAUAUUCGGUUUCUAUAUAGAAAGCUUGUCAUGGAAAAAGGGUUUCUUGAUAAGGUGGAAGACAAUGCGGCCGUCCGAGCUUGGUCAGAAACGACACAGCACGAGAAAUGUGAUAGUUUGGCUAAGGGAUAUAUAUCAGAGUUGUGGGACUUUACCUGUAUUAGUGUAACUCAAAACAGUUUGCAAGAGCUGAAGGAAAUCUAGGAUCAGUGGAACGAGGGGGUCAGAUAGCUAUUCUAUUCUAAUUAUGGGGAUUUACCGUAUCUGCUAGGUAUGAAGGUAGACAAGCAAAUUUUUUGGGCUCUCGUACAGUUUUGGAACCCAGCCUACAGUUGUUUCACAUUCGGAAAAGUCGACUUGGUGCCUACGGUAGAAGAAUACAUGGCUUUACUUUGAUGUUCAAAAAUUCUAGUCGAUAGAGUCUACUCUAGAGCUGUAAAUGUACCAACCUUCCUAAAAAAGAGGCUCAAGAACAUAACUGGGAUGAGCGAGCAGUAGGUUACAGCUCAAAUCCAACAGAAGGGGGAUAGCAAGUGCAUUCCUUGGAAAAGUUUGAAAGAUAUAAUUCUAGCACACCCAGAUACAAAGAAGAGGGUAGACGUCUUUGCUUUGAGCAUAUAUGGCUUAGUUAUAUUCUCCAAGGCUUUGGGACAUAUUGAUGAGGCAGUCACCGACUUGUUCGAACGACUUGAUAAAAGGGUUACACCGGUCUCAGUGGUUUUGGCAGAAACAUUCAAGUCGUUAAAUAUCUUCCGAAGAGCAGGUGAAGGUAGAUUUGUCGGAUGUGCGCAGCUUUUACUCGCAUGGUUCCAUAGUUACUUCUGGAAGAUUGAUAAGGUUUCGUAUCGGGUCUUCUCUGAAAAUUAUUCACCACUAAAAGAGAUAGUAGCUACACCGAGGAGGGAUGACAUCUUGGAGGAGAAGUGGAUGGCAAUUCUGUAGAAUCUUCGUGAAGAAGACGUCGAAUGGAAAGCCCCGUGGUUGCUUCUAGAUGAGAUCUUGUAUCGAUGCGGUGACUUUGACUGGGUUCCCUUGUUGGGAAUUUAGGGAGAUGUUGGUUAUGCCCCGUUGCUAGUGCCUAAGCAGUAUAGGUCAAGACAGUUUAUGCCCGUAACUUACGGACUAGCCGAGUGUGAAUUCUCAUACAAAGGUGAUGGUUAUAAAAAGAAAAUUCGAGAAUUGUCCAAUGCAUGGAACCAGAAUCGUCGAAUGAAGAGAUUAACCUUGGGCCCAAUGACAACUCCUGAGUAUAAUGAAUGGUGGGUUAGAAGAAUCAAUGACAAUAUCCCUGAGCCGAGUCACGAAAACAUUCAGUCGAUAGGGGAACAUUUACAUGUCGUCCCUUCUGAACUAGAAAUCAUAAAAUAAGAUUUUGAAAGGAGAAAUGCAAAAUUUGAAAAGAAGAUAGAGCAAAUGGAAGAAGAAAAGAUGAACUUGAGAUUAGAUACGAAUGUCCAGAAACUUGAGGCAGAAAGAUUAAGAAAAAGGAAAAAUAAAGCCGAGGAGGAUCUGGAUAGCUUAAAAACAGAUUAUAAGAAGCUACGCUUAUCAAUGAGAACUACCGGGUUGGGAAAAACUUCGGAGCAGUGGCGUGAAUAGAAUCAAGAAAAAAAGGAUAAGGCCGAUAGCUAGGAAACGAAGUUCCAAGAGGUCCAGACACAAAAUGAGGAUCUAAAGAAGAGUUUGUCAGAGAACCAAAAGGAGAAAGGCGAACUAGUGAAUAGAGUGAUCGAGUUAGAAGGAUCUCUCCAUGGACAUCGAAAUCGAAAUUCUGUGAUCGAAUUGAAAGUAAGCUUUUGCAAGAUCGAAGAAAUGAAAGAAAGGAUAGAAGAGUUAGAAACGAUGCUGCAAAAUUGUGGGAUUUGGAUCGAGUACCUGGAAGCUAAUGAAGGCCGUCAGAUUGAACAGCUGCACCACUUGCAGAACCAAGUUAGAAAUAGAGAUCAUAUUAUGGGAAAAGUUGUGGUUCAGAUUCGAAAGGUAGCUGAUCACCUGCAGACUUUGGUAGUGCAAGCAGAUACGUUGAGCAUGAAAUAUGAAUUGGAAUCAGAUCGCAGACAAGAGUUGGCCUCAUUACUUAGGAAGAUUAGAGUAUUAAGAAUUAGGGCUAAGCCUUCUAUAAUUCAUCUUAUGUAAAGAAGUUUAUUUUUUAGUAAAGUUUUCAAAAUGAAAUUGAAUUAGAAUUGACGCCUUUUUGCAUUCAUUUCAUGCAUUGCAUCGCAUCAUAUGCAUUAACAACCAUUAAAAGAUCCUAAUUGAAUAAAAUUGUGACAGUUAUCCUGGAACAUCGUUACAGCACAAGAAAGAAAACAAAAGCAAUGGAUCAAAGGUUAGUAAGGUUGGAACAAAUGCAAAAAGAAAUGUAAGAUAAGAUGCAAGAACAAUUGGAUAAAAUCCAACAAGACGUGCUGGAAUCCCAAAGAACUAUGAUGGGCCAACUGGCACAAUUAUUGGCUGGAGGGAAUGAUAAAGGAAAAAGCCCUAUAAUCAAUCCUAGAGUUGAUCAUGAGGACCUUGUUUAUCCUCCAGGUUUCGCCCCAACGAACACUCAGGCACAACCUGAUAUGUGUCCACAAGGAGUGCCUGUUCACAUUAGACCUCAAUACUAAGUCGGUGUCUCGGCACCGAUGAACUUUCAGAUAGGCUUGGGUUCCAACCCAGGAGAUAUUCCAACCAACUUCGUUGUCCCUGAUCUGGAUGAUGUAGCGGAAGUAGAGAAGGCAAGAGUGGAUUUGCCGAAGCAACUUGAAGAUAGGUGUAGGUGGCUAGAGGAAAAGUUUAAAGUAAUGGAAACUGCUGAUUACCAUUGCAAGAUCGAUGCCAAAGACCUGAGUUUGGUUCCUGACUUAGUUCUCCCACUUAAGUUUAAAAUGCCAGAAUUCGAAUGGUAUAACGAGACUAGCUAUCCUGAAGCCCAUAUCAUCAUGUUCUGUCGGAGGAUGACGGCAUAUAUUGACAAUGAUCAACUGUUAAUUCAUUAUUUCCAGGAUAGUUUGAUCGGAGCUGCGACCAAAUGGUAUAACCAGUUGAGUCGUGCCCAAAUUAGCUCAUGGAAAGAUUUGUCACAAGCUUUCAUGAGACAAUAUAGCCACGUAGCGGACAUGACACUCGAUAGGAUCACGCUACAAAACAUGGAGAAGAAACAAAAUGAAAGCUUCAAGCAGUAUGCCCAAAGAUGGAGAGAAGUGGCAACUCAAGUCUAGCCGCCUCUUCUGGAAAAAGAAACCACAAUGCUUUUCAUCAAUACUUUAAAGGCCCUGUUCAUCACCCAUAUGUUGGGAAGCGCCACUAAGAGCUUCUCAGAUAUAGUAAUAACUGGUGAAAUAAUUGAAAAUGCAGUAAGAAGUGGGAAAAUAGAUACGGGGGAAAACUUUAAAAGACUGGCCUUUAGAAAGAAAGAAGGUGAGAUAAAUAAUGUAAGUCCAUACAACAAGGGAUAUUCAAAGCCAAUCACCGUUGGCUCACCAAGGACGGUAGCUACCAGUCAUCAAGGCCCUCCGAAGCAGGAGUCCAAUUCGAGGUCAGAAAGACCCCAGUUUACACCUAUCCUGAUAACUUAUAGAGAGCUAUAUCAAAAUCUAUUUGAUGCACAUGUGGUAGUCCCUUGUUAUCUAAAACCCAUGCAACCUCCGUUCCCUAAGUGGUAUGACGUAAAUGCUCAAUACGAAUAUCAUGUAGGGAUAACGGGGCAUUUGAUUGAGAAUUAUUCUGCGUUUAAGAAGGUGGUCGAAAGACUCAUCAAAAUCGGUAUUGUAAAGGUUGAUGACCCAUUAGGACCAAACUUAGCAGGAAAUCUGUUGUCUGAUCAUACGAAUAAAGGGGUAAAUGCGAUAGCCGAGGGUGGAAGUAAGAGAAUUAAGGCAGACGUAAUGGAGGUAAGAACCCCAAUGAAAUGUGUUUGGGAACAGAUGGUAUGUAAGGGUCUAAUCACACGAGAUUUAGAUGAAAGGCCUAAAGGGCCAAGAACAUACUGUGAGUUCCAUACCAAGGAGGUUCAUAACAUCCAAGAAUGUGUAGAGUUCAGGACCAUGGUACAAAAUCUGAUGGAUAAUAAGGAGAUAGAGUUUUAUGAAGAGAUCAAGAGAUUUAAAGAAAAAGAGGUCUACGCCUCAGAGGAGGGACCCGUAGAAAGGCUCCAGAAGGUCAAUGUGAUUAUUUCACGGCCAAGGAGCAAUGAAGUAGGGAUACAAAUACCACCGAAAGUCAUAAUUCAAAAACCUGUACCCUUUUUCUAUAAGGAUAACAAAAGGGUUCCUUGAAAUUAUAACUGUAACGUGACAAUUCCAGGAGAGGGGAACCCGAUAAAUACUUCAGAAGAGAGCAAUGAUGAUGGCUUCUACACACGUAGUGGAAAACGUUACGAUCCAGCAAUUUCAAAAACAGAGCCUGUAAAAGGAAAAACCUUGGUGGUCGAACAAAAGAAGGAAAAGGCGAUCCGACUUGAAUCACCUAUCAAUGAGCCAGUAAUGGAGAAUAAAGCUAGGGAGUUUCUAAAAUUAUUAAAACACAGUGAAUACAGUGUCGUAGAGCAGUUACAUAAGCAGCCAGCUCGUAUCUCGGUAUUAGCAUUACUCUUAAGCUUAGAGGCACAUCGCAUCACGUUAAUGAAAGUAUUAAAUGAAAUUUACGUCGCUAAUGACAUCUCUGUGAACAAGUUAGAUCAUCUGGUUGGUAAUAUAAGUGCUGAUAACUUCAUUUUCUUUAACGACGAUGAAGUACCACCGGGAGGCAUGGAAUCGACCAAAGCUCUGCACAUUAUAACUCGCUGCAAAGGGUAUAUGUUGCCAGGGGUAUUAAUUGAUAAUGGAUCAGCCCUAAACGUCUUACUCUUAUCCAUCCUGAAUAGGUUUCCCGUGGAUAGCUCGCAUAUGAAAAUGUGCCAGAACAUAGUGAGGGCGUUCGAUGGUACUAAAAGAAGAGUAAUGGGAAGGAUUGAAAUACCCCUCUUAAUCGGCCUAAGCACGUACGAGGUAGAUUUCCUGGUAAUGGACAUCAAGCCUUUUUACAAUUAUUUGUUAGGAAGUCUUUGGAUUCAUUCAGCAGGAGCAGUACCUUCAUUGUUGCAUCAAAAGUUGAAGUUGGUAACAGAGGGUCGGCUGGUGACGAUCAAUGAAGAGGAGGACAUCAUUGCGGCUGUAACUAGUGACGCACUGUAUAUAGGGACAGAAGAAGAAGCAAUUGAAUGUUCAUUCUGUUCUUUGGAAUUUGAAGACGCAACCAUUAUUGUUGAAGGGAAUAAGAUCCCCACACCCAGAACAUCCAAAACAACAAGGAUAGGCCUACAAAUGAUGGCUGGAAAAGGGGAUUUACCUAGAAAAGGACUGGAAAAAUACCUCCAAGUGAGGGUAGAGCUACCCAGAUUAAUGGACAAACGAGACCACUUCGGCUUAGGAUAUAAGUCAGAUGCAAAGCAAAAGAGGAAAGAGUUGGAGAAGAAGCGAGAAAAGGGAAAAGCGCGUUUGGAUAGAGAAGAGAUUAAAUGAGAGCCUAUGAUAAUCCCUCACAUAUCCAAAACUUUUGUAUCAGGAGGAACUAUUCACUCUGAGCAGAUGACGUCGAGAAAGGGAAUUAUAGAAGAAAUAUUAGGGAAUCUAAGCAUCAAUGCAAUAUACGAGGAAGAGGUGGAAGAAGGGAAUUCAUCAGGCAUUCGCCCUUAUGAGCCGGGAAGCGUUCUAAAUAAUUGGACUACCGAGGAGAUCCCUAUAACUUUUAAAGUCGAUUUAGAGUAAUAUUCAGAACACACUUGUUGCUCUGAGCCUGGGAUCAACAAGAAUCUUUUGUAAAAGGCAUAUGUCUAAAAUCUUAUUUCAAUGAAAUAUAUCAUUCAAUCUCAUUUUGAGCAAAUAUUCUUUUAUUCUUUCCAUUCCAUUCAUAAACAUACUGUGCAUAUAAUUAUUCUUAGAUUAUUUUUCUUUGAAUCUCCCUUCAGCUCAAUAACAGACCCCCAAAUAUUAAUGAUAUGAGUGACACUGCUACUAACUCAGAGUGUCCUUUUGAUCAAGAUAUGGGUAUAGAGGAUUCUUAGGAUUUUGAAGAUGAUCGAGGCUGUAACUUAUCUCCUGAUUUGUUAAGAAUGGUAGAACACGAAGAAAAAUAGACCCUACCUUAUAAAGAGUCGGUAGAAGUGGUGAGCUUAGGGGAGAGAAAAGAAGAGAAAAUUAGAGCUUGCAUUGAUGCAGAGACAAAGCGAGAUCUCAUUGAGUUGCGCCAAGAAUUCAAGGAUGUCUUUGCAUGGUCCUAUCAAGACAUGCCUGGGUUAAACACUGAUAUAGUGGUACACCGACUCCCCAUAAAAAAGGAAUAUAAAUCAGUUCAACAAAAACUCCGAAGGAUGAGACCUGACGUCUUGUUGAAAAUAAAAUAAGUUAAGAAGCAGUUUGAUGCUGGUUUCUUACAGGUGGUCAAGUAUUCAGAAUGGGUAGCCAACAUAGUCCCUAUUCCUAAGAAAGAUAGGAAAAUGCAAAUGUGUAUGGACUACAGAGAUCUGAAUAAAGCCAGUCUCAAGGAUAAUUUUUCGUUGCCCCAUAUUGAUACCUUAGUGGAUAAUACGGCCAGUUACUCACUGUUCUCCUUCAUGGAUGGUUUCUCAGGGUACAACCAAAUUAGGAUGCAUCUUGAAGACAUGGAGAAGACCACCUUCAUAACGAUGUGGGGGACAUUUUGCUACAAAGUGAUGCAGUUUGGACUAACAAAUGCGGGAGCAACGUAUCAGAGAGCCAUGAUAACCUUGUUCCAUGACAUGAUGCAUAAAGAGAUAAAAGUCUAUGUUGAUGACAUGAUUGCAAAGUCUAGAACAAAAGGGGAACAUGUGCAAGUCCUUAGAAAAUUGUUCAUCAGGUUAAAGAAAUUCUAGCUAAAACUAAAUCCAGCGAAAUGUACCUUCGGGGCCAGAUCAGGAAAAUUAUUGGGAUUCGUGAUCAGUGAGAGAGGAAUUGAGAUCGGUCCAGACAAAGUAAAGGCUAUACAAGAACUACCCCUGCCGCAUACUCAAAAAGAAGUUUGAGGUUUUCGAGGGAGACUAAACUACAUUGCUCUGUUCAUUUCACAGUUAACUGAGAAAUGUGGUCCCAUAUUUCGUCUCCUUAAGAAACACAACCCAAGUGUAUGGGAUGAAGAGUGUCAGAAAACUUUUGAGAAAGUCAAACAUUACUUGUCCAACACCCCAGUACUAAUUCCACAUUGCCCAGACAAGCCACUGAUAUUGAAUUUGGCAGUAUUUGAAAAUUUCAUGGGAUGCGUGCUUGGCCAACAUGACGAGUCAGGAUGAAAAGAAAGAACGAUCUACUAUCUCAGUAAGUAGUUCACUGAAUGCGAAACAAGAUAUUCACCAAUUGAGAAGUUAUGUUGCGCCCUGAUCUGGACAACUCAGAGAUUGAGACAAUACAUGUUGUACCGUACAACCUGGUUAAUCUCUAAAUUAGAACCUCUGAAAUACAUGAUGGAGUCGACUGCUCUGAAUGGAAGAAUGGCUUGAUGGAAAAUUUUGCUAUCUGAAUUUGAUAUAGUCUAUGUGAACCAAAAAGUAGUACAAGGGAGUGCAAUAGCAGACUUUCUGGCCAAUAGAGUGUUAGAAGAUUAUGAGCCACUAAACUUUGAUUUCCCGAAUGAGGAUUUGAUGUAUGUUGCAACUGCAGAAAAAGACUUUCAAGAAGACGGUCCUUGGAAGCUGAAUUUUGACGGAGCCUCGAAUGCUGUAGGUAAUGGGAUUGGGGCAGUCUUGGUAUCUCCCGAUGGUGAUCAUUACCCAUUCACUAGAAAAUUAGAUUUUGAUUGCACAAAUAACAUGGCAGAGUAUGAAGCAUGCAUAAUGGGAAUUCGUGCAGCUAUUGAACGCAAAAUCAAAGUGUUAGAAGUGUAUGGGGAUUCUGCAUUGGUAAUUUAUCAGCUCAAAGGCGAAUAGGAGACAAGAGACUCCAAGUUGAUUAAUUAUCGAAAGUUGGUCCUGGAAUUAAUUGAGGAGUUUGAUGACAUUACCUUCUGUUAUCUCCUACGGGAUGAAAAUCAGAUGGCCGAUGCAUUGGCUACAUUAGCCUCUAUGAUCAAGGUAAAUAAACAAGAGGAUGUGAAGCCUAUCCAAAUGAGCAUUUAUGAGGCUCCAGCUCAUUGUUACAACAUUGACGAUAAGGAAGAAAAGGAUGAUCACCCCUGGUAUCAUGACAUACUGCGAUAUGUAAGGAAUCACGAAUAUCCCGGCCAGGUGACUGAGAAUGAAAUGGAGACAUUGAGAAGGCUGGCCAAUGAUUAUGUCCUAGACGGAGAGAUCUUAUAUAGAGGAGGAAAAGAUCAGGUGCUGUUAAGAUGCGUAGAUGCUAUAGAGGCCAGACAAAUCUUGGAGGAGGUCCAUGAGGGUGUUUGUGGAACGCAUGUUAAUGGUUUCACAAUGGCCAAACAAAUCAUGAGACUCGGAUAUUAUUGGUCCACCAUGGAAGGAGAUUGCAUCAAAUAUGCCAAAAAAUGCCAUAAGUGCCAAAUUUAUGGAGACAAAAUUCACGUACCCCCUUCACCUCUCCAUGUCAUGACUUCUCCAUGGCCUUUCUCUAUAUGGGGCAUGGAUGUCAUUGGGACGAUCUCGCCAAAAGCUUCAAAUAGGCAUCGGUUCAUAUUCGUAGUUAUUGAUUGAGACUUAUAAGGAUUGGCGCGUGAAGUUACCAUUUGCCCUUUUUGCCUAUCGAACGUCUAUUAGAACCUCUACCGAGACAACACCUUUCUCAUUGGUGUAUGGAAUGGAGGCAGUUUUGCCCAUUGAAGUAGAGAUUCCUUCCAUCCAAGUUUUAUCAGAACUGAAACUAGAUGAAGCAAAAUUGAUUCAAUCCUGAUAUGAUCAACUGAAUUUGAUCGAAUAAUAGAGGCUAUGAGCUAUACAUCAUGGUUAAAUGUACCAAAGGAGAAUGAUGCGAGCUUACAACAAAAAGGCUCAUCCUAGGGAAUUCCACAAAGGAGACUUGGUACUGAAGAAAAUCCUCUCCAUACAAAAAAACUUUAGAGGAAAGUGGAUGCCAAAUUGGGAAGGACCUUAUGUGGUAAAGAAAACCUUUUUUGGAGGAGCGCUAAUUUUGACCGAGAUGGAUGGCAAGAACAUGUCUAAUCCUGUGAAUUCAGAUUCAGUCAAGAAGUACUUCACCUAAAAAAAAUGGGAGGAGAGGCCAAGGUGAAAACCCGCAAAGGGCAUCUCGAGACCAAAGGAGUUUUGAAUUGAAAACCCAGGAAUGGGCAGUUCAAAUUUUGAUCAAAGGUGGGGCAUGCGGUAGCUUUGUUCUCUUUGAAUUCGCAAGAAGGUGAGACGCUACAUCUUGGGGCAUCAACAAUGUCUUUUAGGACAUCUAAACACAUAUCAAAUUCAAAAGGAUCCUCAAGAAGUUUGAGUAGAGAAGCUCAUACUAUGAUAUCUGGAGCACCUAUUUCCACUUUUGUAUUUUGGCGAAAUACACCAUCUUGAUUAAAUUACUCUCAUUUUGUAUUCUAGCAAAAUUUGCUAUCUUGAUUAAUUUAUUCAUUUCAAGCUUUGUUCUCGACAAAAUUUCAUCUUGUCCAUUGUGAUAAUCUUUUUCAAGUAUUUUUCAUUGAAAUAAUGAUUAAUGGACUAAUAAUACUUUCAUUAAAGGAGUUCUAAAUAUUACUCUAAAAGCUUUUAAAUAGUACGAGGACCUGAAUCAAGACUAUUGUUUAGAACUAACCAAACCUAGGGGUUGGAGAUGCUAGCUGAACAAGAAAGCAUCAGUGGUUAAAACCUUGAUGAAUGACGAGUAAUGAAAACCCUAGCAUUAAAGAGGGGUAAUUCUUAUGACAUUCUGUAUUCAUGCAAAUAUCAUUCAUGUGCAUCUAAUUAGGAGCAUUUGGUUCAUUUUGAUCAUGACAUCCUAAUCGUUUAGGCAUAAACAAGAGUUCACGGGUCAUGCUUCCCCAGAGAACAGAUCAGUGAAACUACAAAUCUUAUCUCCCUGAAGUUUUAGUGAAGCGGAUUAAAAACACAGAUCUCAUCUCUCUAAAGUUGCUGUGGGGUAGACAGAAGAAACCAAUCCUAUCUCCCUGAAGUUGUAGUAGAGCGGAUUAAAAACACAAAUCUUAUCUCUCUGAAGUUGCAGUAGAGCAGAUCGCAUUCAGUCUUACCUCCCUGAAGUUGCAGUGGAGCAGACAGAAGAAACCAAUCCUAUCUCCCUGAAGUUGUAGUGGAGCGGAUUAAAAACACAGAUCUCAUCUCUCUGAAGUUGGAGUAGAGCAGAUCACAUCCAGUCUUAUCUCCCUGAAGUUGUAGUACAACAGACAGAAGAAACCAAUCCUAUCUCCCUGAAGUUGCAGUGGAGCAGAUUAAAAACACUGAUCUUAUCUCUCUGAAGUUGCAGUAGAGCUGAUCGCAUCCAAUCCUAUCUCCUUGAAGUUGCAGUGGAGCAGAUUAAAAACACAGAUCUUAUCUCUCUAAAGUUGCAGUAGAGCAGAUUGCAUCCAGUCUUAUCUCCCUGAAGUUGCAGUGGAGUAGACAGAAGAAACCAAUCAUAUCUCCCUGAAGUUGCAGUGGAGUGGAUUAAAAACACAGAUCUUAUCUCUCUGAAGUUGCAGUAGAGCAGAUCGCAACCAAUCUUAUCUCCUUGAAGUUGCAGUGGAGUGGAUUAAAAUGAUGAAUACUAUACCUCUGAAGUUGCAGUAGGUCAGAUUAAAUCUACCAUAACAAGUCUUAUCUCCCUGACGUUGUAGUGGAGUAGACUAAAACCAUGAAUCUCAUCCCCUUAAAGUUGCAGCAGAGUGGAUUGAAGCUAGAAACUGUAUUUCUCUGAAGUGCAGUGGAGUGGAUCGAAGUAAGAAGACCCAGUCGACUACAAGAAGGCUACCCGAAGAAGAAAGGCACCAAGAAGACAAGAUUUGGUGAAACCGGGCAAAAUUGGCCUUUCUUGGUAUUUGCUUCAUUCCCGUUACACGACAAUGAGCAAAGAGGGGCAACUGUUAGAAGCCAUUUUUGCCCGGGCCCAAACCAAAAGCAACCUAAUUUCCAAAAUAAUUAAACAGUCUAAAAAUAAAUUACAAGCCCAAAACUAAAAAAAACCUAGUGGCCUAAGUGGCUGGCAGUUGUCGUUACAACUACCGAAUUAUAUCUGCUACUCGACCAAUAUUAACUAGUAAUAUAGGUAAAACAGGGAAUUGUCCCACGGAGAAGCUUGUGUUAAAUCUAUUAGAAGAGAAUCAAAAUUAAACUAAAAUUUAACUGUGCACACGUAAGCAAAAAAUCAGGGGGUUCUUGGUUUAGAUGUAAAAAGAACUUAAGAAAUAAACAAAAGUAAAUUCGUACUAAAAUUGCGUUAAAAUAAUUAAUUCAAUAGAGAGAAGAAGGGUUAGUUAUGGACUCCUCAUUCCACCAAGCACAAGUCGUUUGCGACCUUCAAUUAUCCUAGAAGUCUAAUUCGGCAGCAAGGCUAAAAAAUUACUUACGAAGUGAUUUCCUAUCUCUGAUAAAUUUAUCCAAUUAGAGAACAUUCAUAACUGAAUUCCUACCCUUAAUCAUCUCAUUGUUGACUAAUUAAGGGUGCCUUAGUUUUUUUUAGAGAUUUCACCUAGCGUUAAUUGUAGAGAAACCUCCAGCGGCUUCUACACUUAACCCCUUAGUUGGUUUAAUUAGCUGCAGGCCAAUUAAUCACCAUCAAUUCUAUGUUUAAUUAAGAUAUUCGAUCACUCAAUUUGUACUUAGAUGAUUGUAAGAAAAUUCCUAAAUUAAAUAAGUGAUCAAUCAAAUUAAGUUAGAAAAUUUCCUUGAACGAUAUUAACAAACAAUUAAAGAUUACCGAACUUGGAAUUAGAACAAAGCAUAUCUUUGAAUCAACUUGUACUUGGCUUCAUGAGGGCCUAACUAAGUAAAAAUAAUUCAGCCACUCAUAGUAAGGGAAACAGAACAGAAAUCAAUUGAAGUCAACAUUAAUUUUGAGCCAAUCUCAUAUGGAAAGCUGUUCUUAAUUGUCGAGCCUUCCUUCUCUCGAUGAGCUGAAUUUCAUUGAACUGCUUUCCAAUUGCUUGAUCGGCGUGUGUGGGUUCACAAAUUUCUGGAUUGAGUAACCUGAAUUAUGCCUAGGAAAAAUCCCUCUCCCCGUCUGCUGCUUCUUCUCCUCCUUUUUAUGGAAUAAAAUUAACCACCAAUAAUUUAAAAGAAAAUCUUUUCUUAUCCCUUGAUCUUAGCUCAACCCGUCACAUAAAAAAUAGCUCCAGCCUACUAGAGUUUUACUUAAAUUCAACUUAUCAAGGGUUGAUUGGAUUCCCUUGAUUUGAUUAGAGUCGGCCACUGCUAGCAAGAAGAUUUAGAGAAUUAAAUAAUUCCCUUGCCGACUCGUUUCAUAAUGUCGGUCUAUUGUGCCUUGUGGUGGACCGAGCCUCGCCUUUGCUGUCAAGGUCCUUGUGGCCGAAUUAAUUUCCUCGAAUUUCGACCCCGUGAACUUAGAGAAUAAGCAUUCACCCAGCGUUUUCCAGCAACUUCUUCAUUUGGGUUCAUUCUAACUAUCUGAUGCACCUACCUUGCAACACGGCUUAAUAUUGUUAGAUCAUCGGCUUGAAGCAAAAAUAAUUUAACAGAGCAUAGUAUAUGCAAAUUGAGCUAAUUAGAAUUCAAUUGGUUAGAAAUUAAUCAAGAAUUUAAAUAAUUUAGUUGAAUAAGUUAGGCUCAAAAUUGAACUUAACAAACUCCCGCAUACUUAAACUAUUGAUCUUCCCUGAGCAAUCAAGUAAGAAAAAUCAAGAAGGAUUUCAAGAAAUCAAGUUUAAUCAAGAGUUGUUGCAUCGCUUUAUGCUUGGGAAGAAUUUUGAAAUCAACAGUCCUGAAUUUUGAUUUGUCGAAGAAAAGAGAAAUUGCUUUAAAUCCACAAAACAAAUUCAAAGCUAAUCAAAAUUAAAGAAUGCUUCCUUGAUCAAUCCUCUCCGGGAUAAAGGUGUUUAACUCAUAUCACUCAAUAUGUUUAGGCUAGUGUGCUGCUCUCAAAUUGAAAUCGACAAUAAUUAACCACCAUAGGCUUGCUUUUCCAAAUUAUCUGACAACAUAACACAUAAAAUUCCAUAAAUAUAAUUGAGGCUAAAUAAAGGUUGUCAUGGGCCCAAGGCAAUGUUUAGCGGACGGGAGGAAUUUAUUUGGAUGGUGGAGCUAGUUCUCUUAGGCUAGUAAAAUCAUUUGAAAGUCAUCAAUCUCUCUUAUUUCCUUUUUUUCUUUUUCUUUUUUUCUUUCUUUCUUUCUUCUAGAAUAGAUGACGAAUCAGCCCUUCAUCAUUUCCAUUUUCGUACCACCUGAUUUUGCCGUUCCACUUCAUUGUGAUCACAUAAUACUUCAUUCAUUUAGUUUAAUAGAAAGGCUGCAACUUACUGAUUUUUUUUUCAAGAAAAUCAGCCCCUAAUUUCCAGCUAAAAACCACCUCAAAUCGGCCAACAUAUGUCGAAAUUAAGAUGGACUUCCAAACUGAAUUAACUAGCCUAAGAAGGUGAGUUGAUUCAGGCUUUGGUUUAAUUUCUAGAGGUACAUAAAAAAUUGGGAAAUUAAGGCUUCAAAUUGGCUAACUAAUUGGAAUAAUGUCAAGGUCGGCUUUAAUAAGUAAUCGUGGCUUAAUUCCUAAUGCCUCUUAAAUCAUAUUAAUGUAAAUCAAAUGUAUUACUAGACUUAAUAAGAUCUAAAGCAAGUUCUAAAGUAAUUGACAGUCGAUAACAAUAAUCACACAUGAAUGAAUGAUAACCUCUCAAGUUGGCAUGGAUGUCCCAACUUUACUUUCUAGGCUCAAAUUCCUCACAAGGACCACAUGAUUGAUCAAUUAAACAGACUAACUUUGAUUCCUUUCCGAAUUUUUUUUUCCUUUUUUUCUUUUCUAACCCAAAAUCAGUCAUUUGAAAACAAAAAUUUAACCCAACCAAUCGACAUACAACAAUCACAAUCAACUUGAAUUCAUAAAAUACACCUUCAUUCUUUUAAUUCAAUAUUUUCCUUAAGAAAUUUAACAAAAUUUAUUCAUAAAAUUUGCUAAAAACAAGCAUCAAAUAUGUUAGAAAAUCAAUGAAUUGAUCUCCCCCAUACUUAAUGUUUGCAUUGUCUCUAAUGCAAACGAAAAUUAAAAAUUACUAAUGGAAAGAAAUAAUAAUAAUGUAAAAGAUAAAAGAAAAAAAAAACUUCCCUGAAUAAGUGGGUUGCCUCCCACAAGCGCCUUUGUUUGAAGUCGUUGGCUCGACAUCGCAAUUCCUCAUGGAUCCUCAAGAUUGAUCUCCUCCAACCAAGCUGCUUGCUCCCCUUCAUGAAAAUGUUUCAACCUGUGACCAUUCACCUUGAAAAUUUUAUUAUUUUCGAGGCUCCUAAUUUUGAUUGCCUCAUGAUGAUGCACCUCGGUUAUUAUAAAUGGUCCAAGCCACCUUGAUUUUAACUUACCAGGAAACAUUUUAAGCUUAGAAUUAAAUAGUAAUACCUUUUCCCCCACCUUAAAUUCCUUACGAAUCACUUUUGAGUCACGAAAUGCCUUCGACUUACCUUUGUAAAUGACCGAAUUGUCAUAUGCUUCUAAGCGCAAUUCCUCCAAUUCCUGCAACUUCAACUUGCGCUCUUCACCUGCCAAUCCAUAGUCCAAAUUGCAUUGCUUAACAGCCCAAAAUGACCUAUGUUCUAGCUCUACGGGAAGAUGACAUGCCUUUCCAAAAACAACCCUAUAAGGUGACAUCCCUA